RNAcentral lists this long non-coding RNA (61969 nucleotides) under Eucalyptus grandis. Lineage: Eukaryota; Viridiplantae; Streptophyta; Magnoliopsida; Myrtales; Myrtaceae. The record is from RNAcentral.
UCCCGGACUCCGUCCGCUCCUACAACCUCUCCGACGACGGCCGGUUCGCCGUCGACCUCGAGGGCCCCCGCUACGUCCAGUUCGACGGCCUGGUCUACUACCGACCGGCGGGUCACCGGGAAGCUCAGCUACGGCUCCAUCACGGACCUGAAGGGGAUCCGGGUUCAGCGGCUCCUGUUCUGGCUCGACGUCGACGAGAUCGGGGUCGACCUGCCCACCCCCUCCGACGCCGUCUACUUCCAGGUGGGGUUCGUCAACAAGAAGCUCGACGUGGACCAGUUCAAGACCGUCCACUCGUGCAGGGACAAGGUCGCAGGCCCGUGCGGCGGGACGUGGAAGCAAGGAAUUGAGGUAAAUCCGCGAGAGAUCAUGCGUGUGGAUGCGUAACUGCAUGUAUCGUCAUUAGGAAUUUUGGGCAGUUAGCUGCGAUUGAUCUGUUGUCAAUUUCUCUGGUGCUGAUUUUGAUCGUUUCUUCGUGGGUCGCGCGGUUCGUGUCUUCCUGACGGAUUUGUUGGCCUGAGAUUAUUGCUCAAUUCCUCAGGAAAGCUUCAUAUGUUGAAAUGUUUUAGCUUUUACUAUGUACUCAUGCGGAAAGUGAACAAUAUUUAUGGAACUGGUUGUUCCUUUAGUACAGAAUAGUUGCUUCUCCGUGAUCAACCUUUGAUGUUUAGGUGCAUGGUAUCGAAGUGGUUGAAUUAAAGUUACUCCUCCACCUAUUUGCAUAAGCUAUCUGAUGGGCUGUUCAUGAUAUAACGUGAGUUCAAUGCGGAGGUGAAGAUGGGGAAAAUCACGUUUCCAGUUUCUGUUUAUGGCUUUUACAUUAGUUGGGAGCCACAAAUUUUAGUACUUGUAAGGACCAACAAUGCAUCUCAUUCGUGCAGCUAGUUUUCUUUAUCAGCAUUCUGUGCUACUGGUUUGUUGACUUGAUUAUCGCAUGGCCAUGCACUAAGUAAAUACAACAGUAAGAGUGGAUACAAUGAACGGGCCUCCAAAUCCUCCACCUGUUCAUCCGUUGCAUCAUAUUAUGGUGGCCAUCGACCACCUCCGUCAUUCCCCAUGGCUGAUACGCGUCCAACAGCAACACCGGGAUCCCCGGCCGCGCCAGUUUCUGGAACGCCUUUUCCUGGUUAUGGACAACAUCCUGUCUUACGUUGACCGCCAUCAGCUCCUUCCGGCCACGGUGCACCGUCACAUAGGGGCCAACCAGCUUCAACCCCUCGAGCACCGCCAAUAUAUGGAUCUCCUCAACAUCCAUCAGCAUCACCUCCGCGAGUUUUUCAACCAACUCCGGCGGUUCAUCAACCCCCUACGCCGUUACUUCCUCCGGCUCCCCCGAGAGCGGUUUGCUCAGCACCGCCAGGACGUCGACUUGCUCUACCAGUUCACAUACAACAUGUAAGUCCACCACCUCCUUAUAGGCGACCAAGCCCACCCCCCGUGCAAUAAGUCAGGUCCCCAUUUUGUUUUCCUUUGCCCCUGUUUGCCACUUUCCUCACUAGUUGUAUCGCCACCACCUAGCUUCUUAUUUCCUCGAAAGAUGGGAACCAAUGAACCUGAUAACUUGUUCUUUGGUAUGACAAAACCAGAUUUCUUGCCAAACAUGGAGACCUUUGAGCUAGAUGUUGAUGCUGCUGACGCCCCUGCCAUCUUUAAUCCAGCAGGUUCAACAUCAGAUGAUUGGUCAACCUUCGUGUUCAUUCUCUCUCCUACAGUAGAACUGGAGUCCUAUUUAAGAGAUGAGCCGUAAGGUGGUGGCACUCAAAAGGCUUCAACUUAAUUCACCUUGCAUGUUUGCAUACAAUACUGAGAUAGACAAAGCACUUAUAUAGUCAAAGAAACAGAAUUUCCAAGCCAGUAUACAUUCAAGUUCAAGACAUUGGCAACGCUAUUCUUCUAAUUCAGCAUCCUUCCGAGGAAGACAGAUGGCUCGUUCACAAGCUAAAAAGAAAUGCAAGUUGAGAAACUCUGGUUUUCAUCCCAAAGAAGGUGCUAAAACUACCAAGUGUACAAAUUUUUUUUUUUUUUUUGUGUGGUAUAAAUAAUGGACGAUUGAUGCAUCUUAAUCCAAACAAGGCUUGCACACGCCCUCCACCUACAGCAAUGCUGUAUUUCUUCUAUCCUCCCACUUCUGAUGGGCUCCCCUCCCCUCCCCCACAACACAAAAAACAAGCCGGGGCAGGGGCGCCCCACCCUACCCUUCUCUCUUUCUCUCCCUCCCGCAUUACAAACCGAAAAGGUAAAAGUAAAAGCACAACCAAAUCCAUCAAGACAAGCAAGGAGAAUGGAAGGAAUCUUUAGCUUAUCAAUAAUUGACAAGAGCACGGAGUAAACUGAGAGAAUUUUAGACCAGUAGUUUUUUUCUAGAGCUAGCAAUUGUUUAACUAGCUCAAGCAUUUUUCAUGUGGUAGUAUACGAAGUAAUCAAUCAAGUGGCGCCACAAAAACAAGCCCACUAAUUAUGCUCCGUUGGCCAUUGGCAAAAUUGACAUAUAGAUGUGGUGAUUGCAAAAGUAACAAUAAUCGAGUCAUUCAUGAGGGUCAGCUACUCAAGUGUGCUUAUUCUACCAGUGAUCAACGAGGUCCCGUGAAAAAGGAAUAAAAAGUGGAGUUGCAUAAUUCACAAUAUAUCACAAACGCACAAGACUCUAGCAAAGUUAUUUUGAGAUCCAUCCGUGCCGAUCACGAAAUAUGUCCAAACAAGCAAAGCAAGCAACAAUUUCCACAUCUACUUUUUCUCGAAUCGUUCUCUACAUCAAGUCAUGCUCCCAAGUCCCAGCCCACAUCAGAACCUCCUCCAACCAUUCUCUCCUCUCGCCAGAACCAGAAACCGCCUUCGCCCAAUAUAUCGCAUCGGCAACACACUGCCUCAUAAAAAGAUACGACCACUUCGACCCGCCAAGACCAGCCCAUCGAAAUCGACGACACAAAUCAUCAAGAAACUGCACUGCUCAGUCAGUUUGAAACGCGUUCACCAUCCCAUAACCACUACCACCCAUCAAAUUCGACGAGGGGACUCCGGACCCGAUAAACAAGCCCCGAAAUUUCCACAUUCCCAAUUCCGGGUAACUUCGAACGCGGCCGGAGGGAACUAAUUCGAUCUUCUUACGACCACUGCCGACAAAAAGAACGCAAAAAACGCUCCGGGAAUCGAUCGCGACUGAAACUACAAGCGAAAUACAGGAGGAAUACCGAUUCACGCCGAGCCCAGCAUCGAGGGCUUCGCAGAGGAGAGUCGCUGGCCCUUUGGGGGUGAAGCUCGGGUGCGCGUCGAUUUUGAGCGGGCCCUCGAAGAUUUUCUUGACUUUUGGGCUUUUCUUCUUCUUCUUCUUCGUAGGCCAAUAUGCCUUUCUUCUACCUUCCGCGCCGACAAAUCGAAUGUGUCCGGCCGGCCAGUGCGGUGGCGGCAGGCCAGGUGGCGUGGAAUUUGAUCGUAGGUUCUAAUGCCUGCUGUUCCGAACAUGACGUAGGAUUGUCUAGACUCUAUUCUCAGUGGCACAUUAGUGUAACGGUGACGGCAGACGACUCAUUUAAAAUGAGCGAUAGUUAUGAUUCAAACCGAACAUUCUAUUUGUAUGUGCGGAUCUCCUAUGAUGAUGUCUAAGAGAGGAGGUCGUUGAUCCCGAUCAUCCCUUUUUAUCUUUUUCCCUUUCUUAAUAAAGUUAGGUGGCGUAGAAAUGAUAACACACAAAAUUUUUGACGAUAUUAUUUGACAGAAUAUUAAUGGUGCCUUAUUUGAUAUGAUGGAUUAUUUUCUUGUCACGUUAGAUCUUUAAAGGCGCUAUUGGAUGAAAUGUUAAUGAGAGCAGGAGUUAGACAUAGAGAUAAAAAUUUGUGAUUUCUUUUCACAAGGCCAAAAUGUAAUUAGGUGUGGAAUUAAGACUUGACAUGAUGUUGGUACUUCUCGAGAGAAUCGAUCAUUUGGUACUUCUCAAGAGAAUCGAUCAUUUAUCUCUUUAUCCAACUCUUCUCUUUGUUUUAAUUAUUUAAAAAUAUAUAUAGAUGUGUUUUUAACAUUGCUUUUGUGCAAAUUACUAAAAAGUCGAAGGAAAAAGGGAAAGUUCAACAGGAAAUUAAAUAAGAUGGAGGAAGAGGGGAGAAAAAUUGAUAGAAUAAGAUCAAAGAAACCAUUGAAAAAUGAAGGUGCGAUGCAUUUCGAAUCUCUAAUCCCUUUUUAACAUGGAAUCAAUUAAAAUAUUAAAUAACCAUGAGUAAAAUACGUAUUUAAGCGUAGAUACAUACGGCAUCAAUAUAUUGCACACGCAUAAAACACACAUCGUAAUUAUACCCUAGAAAAAGUACUUCAAGUUUUAGCCUAUGUUUACUUUUUUAAUCAGUCAAUUAAUUAUGUAAUAUGUCAAUUAUCCCUCCCUCGUGUACCGAAAAUAUCGAUCAUUAGAUGCUGUCUUCACAAAAACAAUAUAUAUUUUUUUUUGGUAAGGUAAAAUAUACAAAAACAAUAUAUUGAUUUCCUGUUUAAAGAAAGACGAAUUAUUAAUGGAACUCAAUCAUUAGAUGCGACGUGUAUGUAUAUAAAACUUUGUAAUUAUAGUGGUCCUAAAUUGAUACGUGAUUUUUUCUCGUUCAUAACACAAGUGAUUUGAUAAGCUUGUGAUAAUAUGAAGUUUGGAUUGUAUGAUAAUAAAUUCGAAUUUUUAUUGCAUUUUUUAUUAAAAAAAAGAUUUCUAGCUGGUCGCAAUUCAUGAUGAGUAAUUACAGUCUCCUAUAUUAGUAACAAACGCUAGAACACAAUUCAUCAACAUAAAGCUAGAGGGUUGUUUAAUUAUGUUUGGAUAGCAAUUUUUUAAAUGGUCUUUAGGGAAAAUUCUAAAUAAAGGUCCAAAAUGCUUUCAUUUUCUCAAACGAGGGCUUGAAGUCAAUAUUGUUUCAAAUAAUGAUUUAAAGUGUCAUCAAUUUCUCAAGGACUUGAAGUAAACAUUAUUUCAAAUAAGAAUCUGAAGUGACUAUAUCAAUCUCAAAUAAGGGCUUGAACUCACUAGUUAUGAAGGAUGAUUUCAUCUUUUUAAAAUUUUUCCUUUUUCCUUUUUUCUAUUUUUUGUAAAAAAAUGAACUAAAUAAAAGUAAAACUUAAGAAAAAUAAAUAAAGGAAAAAAAUAAGCUCCCUCCCGCUUGUGGCCACCACCCCAUUGUCGGUGGGGUAGUGAUGACGGCAAGCAAGGUCGCUGGCACUUGGGUGAGGCCCAACGACCCUUGUCAAUUAGAGGCGUGGGCCUGCUAGCCCUAGUGAGAGACAAGAGAGGGCAAAACCCUCUAUCAAUCUAGGCAAGGGUUGUCGGCCCUCACAUCGGCAUGGCGGCCCUUGCCUAGGGCCCCUAAACCUUACCACCUAGGUUUGAAGGUGUUGGUUGAGGGCCUCGCCCAAAUCUAGGAGAGGGUCACCACUCUCUCCCUACCUUGGCUAGGGCUUACAAGCCCUUGUCGUGCCAGCCCUUACUCAAGCAGUAGCAACCUCUUCGAGUGUUGCUGAGGCCCCACCAGCAAGGGGACGUGCAGCCAAAGGCGAGAAAAAGCCCUCCUGUCAGUUAUUCUCCUUCCUCUUCUUCUUUUUUUUUUUUUUUUAAAAGUUUUAAUAUAAUUAAAUUAAAAAUUAAAUUGUGUUGGUCAAAAAUACCCUUGAUGGGUUGAAAAUUUUUGCUAACCGGCGAGUCGAUGAAACUAGGUCAUUAUUUGAAACAAUGAUAACUGCUUUAGGCCUUUCUUUGAGAUUAAUAUUCGGUGGCUUUCCCCUUUCAAAAUUUCUCUCAUUCUGUUAGCCGUACAGCUAGUGAGCUAUGUCACAUAGGCAGCUCUCCUAAGUUUUUUCAUUGGAUUCUGCAAAGAAAAAACUUUAGGAUCUUCCAUUAAAGUAUCGUGGAGACAAUAACAAGGAGCCCGGCAACAUCCAAAAUAUUUGAGUAAAUGAUAUGGUUCCUUAUUCCUUGGGAUUCCAGUUGCUGGAGGAGACUCUUUCUGUGUAGAACGUGCUGAACUGGCUCUUGAACUGUUUAAUUAACAUUGAGAAACUUGAGAACCAUUUCAGUGUGAGCUUCUUAUUAAGUGAAUAUUUGACUGGCUUGAAAGCGGUGUGAAGGUGUAAUGUCUCCUCUACACACUCUUUCCCUGCGCUGAUCAGCAAGGUGUCUUCGGGUGCAUGUAGCUUGGACCAGGGCAAAAUCGACCGUGGCUUUUGGUCAGGAUGCUUCAGAACCCACAAGAAGCUAAGAUGAUUUGUUAAUAAAAAAAAUCUAGCUUAGGAUGUACUACUGUUUGCUCAAUAAAUUGAAACGUCCAAGGAUUGAGAUAAUCAGUCCUUGGACCAAUCGCUCAUUGUUAGCUGCCGUAAUGUUAGGAGGACCAAGGUUCUGAAAUUUAUGCAGGUCUACCUACUUAUUUACAAUGUAGACAUGUCAAAAUGGGUCUUAAACUUAUUUGUGACCCAAUUUUUUUUUUUAAAUGGGUCAUAUGGGUCACUUCAAAAUUGAAAUGCACACCCUUAAUGGGUCUUAAAACUCAAAGGUUAAAAUAAAUGUGUCUAUUCAGCUUAAAACCCAUUUUCAACUCACUUGGAUUUUGAAAUUAUGCAGGUUCACUUGCUGUCCGCAACGCUAGAUAUGGAACUUAGCAUGCGGAAUUUAAUCAUCUAAUAUUCAUUUUUAAUUGAAAGAGCAGUUCUAGGGAAUUGCUAUUGUGGAUCUAUGUACAAAGAGCUCCUUGUGAACUUAUGAUGUAGAAUUUAAUCAAGUGAUAUUUCAUUUUUAAUUGAAAUAGUAGUUCUAGGGAACGGCUACAGUGAAUUUAUGUGCAAAUAGCUUGUUGUGAACUUGACAAGUGGAAUCAAAUCGAGUAAUAUAUCAGUUUUAAUUGAAAUAGCAGUUCUAGGGAAUGCUUAUUGUGGAUUUAUGUGCAAAGAGCUUCUUGUGAACUUAGCAUGUAGAAUUUAGCCAAAUAAUAUUUCAUUUUCAAUUAAAAUAGCAGUUCUAGGGAAUGGUUAUUGUCGAUUUACGUGCAAACAACGUCUUGUCGUGUGUGGAAAUACUCUUUGGACUCUGUUUCGCCUAAAAAUUUGAAUUGGAACUUAAACCUGACAGAGAUGAGACAAAAGUUAAUUUCUUGAACCACCGAAUCACACAUCUUCAUUAGUAAUAAGCUUAUACCUGAUCUCCAUCUGCAACUACAAUUUUGCCUUCCAGCAGUGUAUAUCUAGAUUUAGUGUCCCCAACACCAUCACCAUACGGAGAUAACAUAAAUAUAUAGUGACACGAAAUGCCAAAACUUUUAACACAAAAACGUUGAACCAUUGCAAAUUUAACAUUAAAGCUGCUGUGAACAUAAUUGAAAUUGGAGGUGGAGUAGUUAUUCAUUAAAACUCUUAAAUAUAAAAUUAGAUUGGAGAGAAAAGCUUCCAGAUUUAAAAUCGAGAGAGAAAAGUUCCUGGAUCUAAAAUUAGAUCGGGAGUGCAAUAAAAGAAACAAAAGGAAAUAAAAGGCUGCCACAUUUAAGUAGUGGAAUUUGCAGUAAUUUCAUAGAGAAGAAGCAUACCUCCCAACCCUAAACAUCGCCAAACGAUCGCUCGUCUCACAUCAUUAGUUGAAUCGAGACAUGUGGAGGCCGAAUCAAUGUCACAUGCAAGAGCCAUACCAAACAUCCUAAGAGAUGGAAUUUGUCAAAGCGUGCCUAAUUUAAAGCAGUGCCAUACAAUGCAAAUAAUACCAAAAAGUGGGGAUUUAAAAUAUAUUGAAAUUUGAUGCAUGAAUACAGUUUGAACAGCUAUGGUAGAAUUGAAUUCACAAAGCAUGCAACCACACAAAAAUUUCCUCAAAACAGGCGGGAAUGUCCACAGUUCGCCGCAGGAGCAGAAACUAAAAGAACAAAUUCAGUUCUACUCCGAACUUCAUUUCUUCAGGGUUGACUUUGGAGCUUUCGAGUGGAUAAGGUCUCGACAUGACGCGAGUUAGAGACCUCACUCAGAAAGCUCGAGACCGAACUCGGGUCAGUCAUUUCUUGCACCAUUGAAACAAACGAAACACAGCACAUAAAACAAAGACAACCCUCUGGUGAUCAGUGUCAGAUGUCCCCCGAAGUUCCCCCAAACACUUCAGUAGGGCUGUAGUUGAGACAAUCCUUUAUUCUGCAUGAAGGACCAUGCGCCCCAGUGAAGUGAUCAGGGGAACUCCAGGGAACAGCUGACUCUUUUUUGCUCUUCUUUUCCUUCUUCCCUGUGUUUUGCCUGGAUGCUGAGGGUGCACUAAGUAAGGACUGCUAUUUAUAUGGAUAACUUAGUACCGGUAAUUCCUUAGAAAAAGAAGGCUGGGUUUGGUGGGGGAAACUGGAAAAGAGGAGAAAUUUAUCAAUCCUAGGUUGGCCGAAAUGAACCUGGUCAGAUUUGCUGGGUAGAUCGAUAAGUUGGGAGAGGAAUCAUAUCAAGCUGAAUGUCCACAAGUUUUGUUGCUAUCGCUUUUUCUGGAUGUGAAAGUUCUGCGUUUAGAUUUCUGGCAUUUAACAUGCUGGGAUUGCUCUCGGUGCUUCUGAAUAAAGGAUAAUUAGCCCUGGUAAUGUGGCGGAAAAUAUGAGUGACUCGAAUCCACAUGUUAGGUGAAUGACCUCAAAAACAAGUUUGAGAGGGUACUUGCAUGCUUUACAUCAAAAGCAAUGCCGGAGUUAUGGGUAAUCUGAUAACUUCACUUGUUUCAGAUGAUAUGGUGAUUAUUGAUUAACCGUGUGCACUGUCAUGUUUUAGGCGAGACGCCAAUUACUCUAAAAGUCAAUUAUGACCCAAGUUAUGUUUUGAUUUAGAAAUUUUAGUCUGCCAAGAAUUCCUGUGGUGCAAGGAAUAGCAUGCUUUUUGAGAUAACAUUUGAACUUUUGUGAAUGACCUCAAAAACAAGAGAUGAUUUGCUUUUUGGGACCUGGACCAUCUGAUGGGAUCAGAUCCAUGCAAUUAACAGAAAUGAAUCCGGUCGUCUUCAUGCGUCAGAUGAGCAGCAAGAAUAUUAUUUGAUGGCAUGCUGCCACAAGCUUUUUUUCUCCAUGCCAGCCUUGUCUUGCUUGCCCCAUCCGCUCCAGUCUUCUCUUUACCCUUACACUUGAGGGGCUCUUUCAUGCUUUAUUAGGUAUUGGAACUAAAAGGGGAAGUUAACGCGAAAAUACAGAAAAUAACCACUAUAAAAGGGAACAGAAAGAGCUUGGACAAAAACCAGUAGAAUUACGAAUCCAUCGAUAAAAAUUCUGUGACAUCUCGUCGUAAAUAAUGUCUCAAGGACCAUAGAAUUACAAAUUAUAGAUACUAGUUACAUCAGUCAAGGAUGUCUCGAACACUUUAAAGGAUUUCCAACUUUGAAUUAAUAGAGGUUUUCACUUAAACAAUUCAUACACAUCUGAACAUCCAGAUCAUACAUUUAUGUAGUAUGUCCAGUUGACAGAACCAUAUUCUUUGGUGCUAGGUGAAAUGGAACUUCAAUCACAAACACUUUUGUAAUCAUCUAAUGAAAACUGGAUUCUGAAGGCCAAGAAAGUGGAUGCUCGGUGGCAGAUGAAGCAGGCCGAAAAACCGGCAAAAUUCAUGCUGAGCCACAAAUUAAUCACUAGAUUGUCAGAAGACGAGGAAAAAGCGACUUGAAUCUGAUAAAGAAGUAAAAAGGAAAGGAAUCGCAUACCACAAUAAUUCAUGUCGAUGCAUUCCGGGGACUUUCAUGUUGCUCAGAGGCACGUCUAGGUACAUGGCAAGAGCCUUAUCCUGACACACAAUGCUCCUUCCUCAAGUGGAGCAGUUCCUAUAUAUAGAGCAGUGCAUUGUUUCUUUUGCUCAUCAACUCAAGGCAGAUGACUCACUAGAAGAGGAGAUGAACAAUAUGAAUCGGGUGUCCCCUAGAGUUCCCCCGAACACUUCAAUGGGACUUUCUAUGAAAGCACUUCCCAAUGAAGUGUUUGGGGGAACUCCUGGUGUCGCUUGAUGCUAUAGCCGGAACUGAACACAUAGCAGAAAACUCUUUUGAGGCAGUGUGUCACUGUACCCUUAUAUCCCUGCUAUAUCAGACUUCAUCCUUUGAUAUUCGGUGGCUUUCCUCUUUCAAAGUUUCUCUCAUUCUGUUAGCCGUACAGCUAGUGAGCUAUGUCACACAGGCAGCUCUCUUAAGUCUUUUCAUUGGAUUUUGCAGGGAAAAAACUUCAGGAUCUUCCAUUAAAGUAUCACGGAGACAAUAAUAGGGAGCCCGACAACAUCCAAAAUAUUUGAGUAAAUGAUACGGUUCCUUAUUCCUUGAGAUUCUAGUUUGGGGUUUUAAGUGGUUUUUUCCUUAUUUGAAACAAUGAUUACUACUUCAGGCAUUUCUUUGAGAUUAAUAUAACAACUUUAGGUCUUUAUUUGAAACAAAAUUAAUUUCAAGCUCUUAUUUAAGAAAAUGAUGACACUCCAUAUCCUUAUUUGGAAUUUUCCCUAAUUUUUAUUGAGAAACAUCGUUUGGGCAAUUAUAAAUAAAAUUAGUGACGUAAAAACAAAACCCAGUGUAAUCAAUUAUCUUGAUAGCCAAUUUUUUUUUUCAUAAUUUAAAAUGCAAUUGUGCUUAUUUCUAAUUUCAGAGCAACAAGGAGAAAUUUCAGUGCCUAGAGGUCCCAAAUCUCUUCUAUAAAAAACUAAUAUGUAUUUUCUUCUUCCUCGUAAUGAAGUCGAUUGUGAUUCCUAAAGUGUGUCUAAAUAUGUUUUUUUUAUUUAAUAAGAUAAAAGGUUUUAUGCAUAAACGGAAAGACGAUACACCUUAGUAAACAACCUCUAACGAAACUCACUACUUCCAAAAACUGAUUGGGAUCUUGCAUUUACAAAGUACUAAAUGAUGCCGCUAGACCAUCAUCACUGUUGAUAGUAAUAACAAUAGUUGGUUAUUAUUAUGUUAUAGGGACUCGGCUUUUUUCCAUUCGGUAUUAAAUUGACAUUUUCAAUUUUGCACUCUUAUAAGUACAAUGCAACGAGUCGCUUAAAAAUUAAUAAUUGAGGUGCAUUUGCAAUGUUGUUCCAUUUUUUCCCCUUUCCUUCAUGUUCUUCGAAAAACCCUAUGGUACCCUCACCACUAAUUACAAUCGCUGCCAUCAAUCCCCGUAGUAAAUCUCCAACCACCGCAUUAUUGCCAGCAUCUCUCUCCCACAGCCGCACUCGUUCGAGAUCACACAAGGAUGAGCCCCGUCGUGAGGUCGGCUUUCGUGGAUGGAUCCAGGAUUGGGGAAUUUCAAUCUCGAAGUUUUUAUACGUGUGAUUUUUAUUAAAUCAAGAGGCAUUUCAAUCUCUGUCGGGAUUAAUCAAAAAGCAAACAAAUUCUCUAAUGGAGUGUCGCUAUCAGGCAUCGUUCAAACAUGUUGGAAUCACGUCGGGUGUAUGCCCGAUUUCCAUAUAAGACGAGGCCUGUGUGCAUCUAUUGUUAGCACGCAUUGGACUUAUACACGAGCCAUCCCCUCUGCAGCGAAUUUCAUGAAAUGAGAGAUUUUCAUUUAUUCAUUAGAAUACUUGUUCUUUUAUCUUUGAUUAUCAUUAAGAUUCGGAAAAAUCUCAAAUAAGGACCCAAAGUGAGCUUACUUUCUCAAAUAAGGAUUUGAAGUGACCAUUAUAAAGACCCGGAGUAGCUAACAAGUCUCAAAUAGGACCUAAACCCGCUGGCCAGCCAAAAUGUUCACUGGCCAGCAAGCGUGUGACAUUUUCGAUGGCCGGAAUAUGGGCAAUUUUGUCCCAAAAAAAUAUAGAUAGAAAUUAACAAAUCCUAAAAACAAAAUCCUCCAACUCUUCGCGUUCUUCUUCUUUUGUUCUUUAUCUUUGUGAAGAGCAGAAGAAUUCCUCCUACCAUCACCAUCCUCGCUGCCAUAAAACAAAAGAAUUCCUUGUACCAUCACCAUCCUCGCUGCCAUUUGUGUGAUAUUCCGCCACAUGCCGGUGUCUUGUCAACAUGUUGCUUCGACAAGUUACAACCACUUUGAACGAACGAAGGAUCAAUUGCAUUAAUUUGAACAAAACUAACCUCGUUUGAAUGGAAGUGUGGAUGAAAGUGUAUAGCAAACCUAGGAAAAGAUAAUGAAGAAUUGAGGCCCUCGUGUUACACACGAGUGUCUCAAUAACGAAAAUACGACUUUACUUGAGAUUUGUCUUAUUCGUUGGAAAGAAACGAAGACAUAAAAAAAAGAAAAAAAAGAGAGAAGAAGAUGUGAAUAAACGAAGGUAGGGGUUUCUUGUUAUGUUUCGAUUCAUGUUCCAUUAACAGAAAAUUCCAAUGCUUCAAGCGAGAGAGGACAAAGAAUGGAGAAGAUGAAGAGCAAAAGAAGAAAAACAUGAAAACGUAAACGUGAAAAGUUUUUUUUAGGUCAAAAGAAUGUAAGAGUUUGAGGGAUUUUGUUUUUAGGAUUUGUUAGUUUCUAUCUAUAUUUUUUGUGGACAAAAUUGACCACCAGAAAUGUCACACGCUUGCCGGUCAGUGAACAUUUUGGCCAGCCGGCGAGUUCAAAUCCUUAUUUGAAACUUGUUAGCCACUUUGAAUCCUUAUUUGAGAAGAUAGACUCACUUUGGGUCCUUAUUUGAGAUUUUACCCUAAAAUUCAUUAAUUGGAAUUUGACACCUUGGAGCUUCCCUCCGGUUUUUCUCUCUCUAAACUCUCGUCUCCAUCCUCGCCCUCUUCCCUCCCCUUUCUCUCUCUCUAUACCUAACCCUAGCUCCCCUCCGAUAGUCUACGAUCUCCUCCCCAAGUUCAGCCUCCCUGGCGGCCUGCUUCCGGACUUCGUUCGGUCCUGCAACCUCUUCGACGACGGCUGGUUCGCCAUUGACCUCGAGGGCCCCCGCUACGUCCAGUUCGACUACCUGGUCUGCUACGACCAGCGGGUCACCGAGAAGCUCAGCUACAGCUCCAUCACGGACCUGAAGGGGAUCCAGGUUCGGUAGUUCCUGUUCUGGCUUGAUGUCGACGAGAUCGCGGUCGACCUGCCUCCCUCCGACUCCGUCUACUUAUAGGUGGGGUUCGUCAACAGGAAGCUCGCCGUGGACCAGUUUAAGACCAUCCAUUCGUGUCGGGACAAGGUCUUCGGCCCCUGCGGUGGGUCGUGGAAGCGAGGGAUCCAGGUAAAUCCGCAAGCGAUUAUGCGUGUGGAUGGAUAAAUUCAUGUGUCUUCGUGGGGAAUUCUGCGGAGUUUGUUGCGAUUAAAAUGCUGUCGUUUCUUUGGUGCUGAUUUUGAUGGUUUCUUCGUGGGUUGGGAUUCGUGUCUUCUUGAGUUCAGAUGGAUCUUGUGGCAUUUGAAAGCUACGUCGAUUGUAUCGCUUUUGAGAUUGGUAGUUGCUGCUGCUGCUAGUUGUUUGCUUACGAAGAAGCGUGUUGAAAUUCAAGUCAGUGGAAGACGACUUACCUUUAUCCAAUGCACAAACAACAAUUAGCCCCGGAACAAACGUUGAAUCGCGGAUGAAUCAUGAACAAAAACACUUCACUUUGGUCUGAAUGCAAUCAUGAGGAAAGCAUUCGAUUUCCAUAGCGUAAAUACCGGUUGUUCUUUGUAAAAGUCAAAUGAAAUGCCUUCUUCUUUGAUGGAAAGGGAGAGAAAUUUUUGUGCGAAUGAUCUGCCAACCGGUGCCAAUGGUUGUCUACAAAAAACUUAUAUACGACACCCUUCAUACCCUUUCAAAAGUUAUAUUUCCAUCGUAACGUAUCAAGUCGAUAUGGUGCGAUUUAAUUGCACCCCAUCAUGGACGUACUAGCUAAAGUACAACAUCUCUCACUCGGACAUGAUGGGCUUGAUAGCGCUCUAUCAAGAAUAUGAGACAUUCAACAUUCAUCAACUUUACAAAACAAUUCAUACUGGCAAGUAAGCCGUGCGAUCAGUGAGUACACCUGCACUUAGGAGCUCAAAUUAUGCACCUGUUAGGGAUGACACAAUGGCUACAACCCCGAAAAGAAAUAAACAAUCGAUGUCUCACAGUGCCCCAGACAUAUUUUGUUACAUCAAUCCAAGUAUACCUAUCCCUUAAAGGCUAUACUUGAUUAUUCUCAAAACACCAUGUAUUUACAAUUAUAUCUGCAACCACAUAGGGCGAUAUAAUUGGUCGACCAGCAAAUACAUGUGAUAGAUGUAAAAUAACAAUAGCCUUCCUUCGCACUCAUGUUUCUCUCCAUUUCAGAACAAUUGCUUUCCUAGACACGUUCCAUAAGGCCAUAUCUAUUCAUGACUACCGGUAACAUACUAAAGUAGCAACAUUGAUCUUUCACUUCGAGAACAUAGUCAGAAGUAACAUAGGACACAAAAUUGAGGUAAAUUAUAAAUUACCUCAAGGGCUCACACGAUGAGUAAAUAAGGAUAAUUGUACUCAUCUUCCCUUAUUGGUCAUACAAUGCACAUGUAGUAUGAAUUACAUGAUAUAGUGGAUUUUUCUUUCUAUAAGAGCGUACGUCAUUUAUUAAACAUAUCCACUAUAUGGAUCUUAGCCUAAACAUAGUCAUGUGCUCCUCACGUACUCAUGUUUAGCUCGAGUGCUAUAUCAGCUCACUUUCUAUAGCGCCAAAUUAAGUACUCACAUCCGACAUCUUACAAGCAUACCUGAUUAUGGGACUAUCAUGUUCGGUCUUAUUAUAAAUAAAUCACAGACCUCAUCUUGACUCCAAUCAAGGCGACAUAUCAUUUUAUGUAUUAAACUUGCUCCUCAGCGUUUAUUUGUACAUAACGUCUCAUUUCAACUUGCUAUCUAAAGCACUUGAGGCGAUUGCUCGUGUGAGUGAGCCAGUCAUUGCUUACUGACAUACUUUUUCAAUAAUAUAUGUGUGUUUGUGCAAGUCUCAUAGUGGAUUUGUACUUAUUGAUAAAAUAUCAAAUCACUAAUAAACAAACAAGUACAAUACAUCUGUCCACAAAUACAUAAACCAAUGAUCCUCCACAAUAACAUAUAUCACAUUCUACGCAAUCCUAGUGACAUCUUAUGGGUCAAGAAUAUGUCUCUAGGAAUAGCCUUCGUAAAUGGAUCAGCAACCAUUCUAUUGGUUGAAAUAUAUUGUAGGAUCACUUCUUUCUGCACUAUUAUAUCUUUUAUGAAGUUGUCCUUUAUGUCAAUGUGCUUUUUCCUUUCAUGAUACUUGGGAUCAUUCACAUAAGCAAUGGCUGCUUGACUAUCACAAUAAACUAUCAUCGGUCUUGGAACUUCAGUGAUAAUGGCUAAAUUUUCCAAGAAACGUUUUAGCCAUACUGCUUCUUGCACUGUAGUAGAACAUGCAAUAAAUUAUGCCUCCAUCGUAGACAAGGCCAUGCAUGUUUGUUUCUUGCUAUUCCAAUAAAUUGCAUCUCCAUUGAAUAAGAACGCAUGUCCAGAAGUCGAUUUACGCUAAUCAAGGUCUCCACCCCAAUCAGCAUCUAAAUAACCUAAUAGGCGAAAAUCACUCCCUUGGUAACAAAGUCGAUAGUCCAUGGUGCCCUUCAAGUAUCUUAGGAUCCUCUUCACUGCUUUCCAGUGUACUUGACUGGGAUUUGAUUGAUAUCGGCUUACCAAUCCCACGGCAUAACAUAUGUCAGGUCGAGUACACAUCAUAGCAUACAUCAAACUUCCGACUGCACUAGAGUAAGGAACAGUUUCCAUUAAUUUAAUUUCUUCUGGAGUUUUAGGACACAUCUCAGUACUUAGGCUUUCACCUUGCAUGACAAGGGUAUCAAUGGGAUUACAGUGCUGCAUAUUAAAACAUUCAAGAAUCUUCAUAAUAUAAGACUCUUGUGAUAAAGUAAGGAGUUUCCUUGAUCGAUCUCUUUCGAUCUUAACUCCUAAUAUAUAAGCAGCUUCUCCCAUGUCCUUCAUCUCAAAAUUGGAGGACAAUCAUUCUUUUAUGGUGAUAACUAAAACCUUGUCAUUUCCAGCCAACAUAAUAUCGUUCACAUAAAAUGAUAAAAUCACAAAUUUAUCUUUGGACCGCUUGACAUAUACACAGUAAUCUUCUUCGAUCAUCGUGAAACCAAAAGUUAUUAUUGCUCGAUGAAAACGAAGAUACCACUGUCUAGAUGAUUACUUAAGGCCAUAUAUUGAGCGAUGAAGCUUGCAAAUUUUAUGCUCUUAACUUUUAGCUAUGAAACCUAUUAGUUAUUUUAUAUAGAUUUCCUCAUCUAGUUCUCCAUUGAGAAAUGCCGUCUUUACAUCCAUUUGAUGUAAUUCAAGGUCCAAAUGUGCAAGGAUAGCUAGAAUAAAGCGUAUUGAGGCAAACCUUACAACUGGUGAAAAAGUUUCCCCAUAGUCUAUACCCUCUUAUUGAGUAUAACCUUUUGCCACAAGGCGAGCCUUAUACUUUUCAAUGGAUCCAUCCGCUCUACGCUUAAUCUUGAAGACCCAUUUGUUUCCAAUGGUCUUACGAUUUUGUGAUAGAUCAACCAAGCACCAGACAUGAUUUGCCAUCAUAGACUCCAUCUCAUCUUCCAAAGCUUUUCUCCAUUCUUCUUUAUCAGAGGAUGAGCGAGCCUCUUGAACAGUCUUAGGCUCAGCAUCGUCUUUUUGAGCAAUUAUAAAUGCUUCACCUUUAAUCUCAAAAUGACGACGAUGAAUACUUUUACGAUUACUUUUACGCAAUUGAAUUUCUCUUGAGUUCAAUUCAUCAGGCGAUGUAACACUCCCACUAGGUCUUGUGUGUUGAGGUAAAUCUUCAUUUCCCUCUAUAACAUCAGUGGGUGUGUUAUCAGGAUCUUCCAUCUCAUAUAAUUAGAAAUCCUUAUCAAUCUCAUUUCUAUUAGGAAAAUCGUUCUCCAAGAACGUGACAUCUCGUGACUUCAUUUCGAUUACACUUCCAUCAGCUUGUUCACCUAUGAACACGUAUCCUUUAAAGUAUUCGGAAUAUCUUAUAAAUAUAUAUUUCUUCCCUCUAUGACCUAAUUUACCAUAUUUAUGGGAAGAAUCAUGAACAUAAGCUGCACAUCCCCAUGGACGUAGACUACUCAAGUCUGGUUUCCUACCAAUCCAUAAUUCAUAAGGGGUGGAAGUGACCGAUUUUGAGGGCACUCAGUUAAGUAUAUAGGCAACAGUUAAUAACGCAUCUUCCUAAUAGGAGAUAGGUAAAUUUGCUUGCGUCAUCAUAGACCUAACAAUUUCCAAUAAGGUUCUAUUCCUUCUCUCAGCUACCCCAUUUUAUUGUGGAGUACCAGGAAUAGUCAAUUGUCAUACAGUUCUCUUUUCAUCACAAAGAGCCUUGAAUUGCUCCGAUAGAUACUCACAUCCACGAUCGGUUCUCAAUGCCUUUAUUGUUUUGUUCAACUGAUUCUCUACUAUCGCUAUAUAUCAUCUAAAGCAGUCUAAUGCUUUUGACUUAUGGGAGAUUAGAAAGACAUAAUCGAAACGUGUGAAGUCAUUUAUGAAAGUGAUGAAAUAUGAGGCUCCAUGCCUCGACCUCACAUUCAAAGGACCACAAAUGUCAAAAUGUAUGAGAUGCAAUGGAAAUUCAGCUCUAGUUCCUUUAUCGAAUGGUUUUCUAAUUGCUUUUCCCGCUAGACAAUGUUCACAUACGGAUAGACUAACAUUAGUGAGUGACCCUAAAAUGCAUUCUUUAGCUAAUCUUUGCAUUCUUUGCAAUCCAAUAUGACCUAAUCUAGCAUGCCAAGUACUUGCAUCAAUCUCAACAUUACUAGAAGAUGCAAUUAAAGAAAAACAACCAUUGACAUUAACAUUAUACUGAUCAUAAUCAAUGUCUAACACCAUAAAAACAUUCGAUACAUGACCUGAACCAUAAUAAACUGUUCCAUACAAAAUGUCAACACAAUCACCAUGGAAAUUCAAUACAUAACCUAAGCUAAGAAGAACAACUACAGAGACCAAGUUUCGUCGAAUAUCUAGAGCAUAAAGGACAUCAUGCAAGAAUAGGUUUUGACCACCACGUAAGAUUAAUUUACAUGUGCCGAUACCAUUCACUUCAACUCUUGAGUUAUUCCCAACAUAUAUACACCUUCUUCCAAGCUGUAUCCGACGAUACUCCACAAAUGCUUCUCGGUCUCUAGCUACGUAGUCUGUUGCUCCCGAGUCUACAAUCCACAUUGGAUGAGAUUCAGCAAGCAUUACAGUACUAGAAACAAAAGUUUUACUCAAAGUAAUGAAGUAAUAGGGUACCUUUUUUUGGCUUAGUGCAUUCACGAGCAAAGUGGCCCAUCUUGCCACAAUUGUAGCACUCCAUCUUGGUCUUGUCCUUCUUCCCACCAUACUUCUUGUGUUGGAAGGUCUUAGCCUUUUUAGUACUUGAUUAGUCUUCUUUCCUUGUUGUUGAACUAAAGAUUCCUCUUGCGCUUGAAGCCUGAAGCCUUUCGCGAACUCGAUUCAGCAACAUAAACAUGGGUAGAGGAUCUCGCAGCCUCUAGGCGCUCAUCCUUUAAUUCCAAAUGACGUGCAAUAUCAUCAAAAGUGACAAUAUUCUCAUUAUGCGUCAUAUUGAUCUUCAUAUGCUCCCAAUUGUCAGGAAGAUACCUUAUAACAGCCUGAACUUGCUGUUCAUCAGUAAGGGAGUGACCUACCGACUUCAGCUCACGAAUCAUGUUUGACAUCUCCCAAAGAUAUUGUCUCAUCAUUACAUUUGGGCGCUGUCGGAAUGUGUCAAACUUGAUGAUAAGUCUCCUUAGCUUAAUGGCAAAUGUACCCCCAAACUUAUCUUUCAAGGCAACCCACAUAAUUUGAGCUUUAUCAUAACUUUUAAACUCACACAUGAGAUCAUCUUGUAUACAGCUCAGCAACGUGAUGCGAGCAAUGCUAUUUUUCUUCUUCCAAGUUUGAUAAACUUAUAGAUCUCUCAUGUGUUGAGCUGAAGUUCCAUGUUCAGGUUUAUCCAUGAUAUGAUUGAGGGUUUCCAAAACCUCUUGCUCCUCAAGGAUGUACUCAACCUUUCGGUGCCAAAUAUCAUAAUUGUUACCGUUCAGCUUCUCACGCUUAUUGAGGUCAGUCACAAUGGUCUUGGAUGAUGAAGCCAUAAUAAAUUGCUAUAACACAUUGACAUAAUAAAUGUAGAAUCAAUACUAACACACUUUACAGAGUAACACACAUAUUUAAUUUGCAGCAAUGACAAACUAAAUUAAUGAUAAUUCAACAAAAGACACAGAAACAAUUGUUCUAUUAUCAUUAAUUAGUUUAAUUUGCGCAAAUUUUAAGUUCUAGGUGAGAACUCUUUCAAAUUCUACCAACCUACGAACUCCCACUAAGAAAAAUAAUUACAUAACCUUAUGUAAUUUCUACAUUUUUCCUUAACACAGAAACAUAGCAUGAUAUUAACCAAUGUAUAAACAACAAUCAUGCUUCAACUAUAAUCAAAAUCACAAUUCAACAUGUAAUGGAUUUCCUACCAUUGUUAGAAAUUUUUAGCAACUAGAAAAUCGCAUGUAUAUUAAACUAUAUACAUGAUAUCAUCAAACUAAGAUCUACAUAGCAUAUAUGACAUCAUUUACAUACAAACUAGAUACUGUAUUUCUUAAAUCAAAGGAAAUUACAAGCUACAAAUGAAUAAACUGCAUUAAAACCCAAAAAAUACGCGUACUUAGGGUUUCAUACGCAUUUUCAUACAUUUAUAAAAUUCAAAAGUAUAAAAUAAUUAUACCAUAGUGUAGAAGACACUCAUACGAACCAAACGCUACUGACCACGCUCCAAUCAGAGCUCCCACGCACAUACACGCGCCGCCUGAGUGCGUGGCGCGUGUGGCGCAUGCGCCAACGAGCCAAAUGGCUCCUAGCCGGUCCGACUGGUCCGACUAGUCCAACCGCUAAUCGGUCCGACCGUUGACCGGUCAACGGUCGGGUCGGGUCAGGUCAACCCGGGUCGAAUCUCUGGUCACGGGUCAUGUCGCCAGCCAGUGACCGGCCAGCCAACUGCCGUCGACGGUGAUGUCAUCGAUGACAUCAUCCUAAUGGUUAUUGACCGUUGGGUGACUUCACAGUGACGUCAUCACACGCCAGUUCACCGACUAGUGCAUGACGCACACCUGCUGGUUCGCUGACCGGGGCGUGUUGUGCACGCGCUGGCAUUCCCAGUGCUUCAGGCACAUGGCCUCCAUGCGCAGUGGCUUUUGGCUGCUUGUAUGGAUGCGUCUAGCGUCCUUUGGCGGCACUCUACCCAUCAACGAACUCGUCUCGAUGAGUACUUUCACCCUGUAUAUUUAAAAUUAAUUUUGGACAAAAAAUUAUUUCGAAAAAUGCCAAACCGCAUGGAUGCGCGACCUCGAAACCGUUCUUCGCUUCGGUUCAAAUUUGAGUUUUCAGAUUGCAAUUCCGACCAACAAACAUAAAAAACAAUGUAGAAUACAAUCUCUUGAUCUCAAUAUCAAAUGGUAAAUGAGAAAACUCGAUGAAAAACAAGGCAGAAAUCACGACCGUGCUCUGAUACCAAUGUUGGAAUUCAAGUCGGCGGAAGACGACUUACCUUUAUCCAAUGCGCAAACAACAAUUAGCCCCGGAACGAACGUUGAAUUGCGGAUGAAUCACGAACAAAAACACUUCACUUUGGUCUGAAUGCAAUUACGAGGAAAGCACCCGAUUUCCACAGCAUAAAUGCUGAUUGUUCUUUGUAAAAGUGAAAUGGAAUGCCUUCUUCUUUGAUGGUAAGGGAGAGAAAUUUUGGUGCGAAUGAUUUGUCGACCGGUGCCAAUGGUUGUCUACAUAAAACUUAUAUACGACACCUUUCAUACUCUUUCGAAAGUUAUAUUUCCAUCGUAACGUAUCAAGUUGAUACAGUGCGAUCCAAUUGCACCCCAUCAUGGACGUACUAGCUAAAGUACAACAAAGCGUUAUGGCAUUGCAUGCAUAACUUGACGGAUUUGUUGGAUUGACAGAUUAUUGCUCUUUGAGUUCCUUAGGAAAGCUUCAUACGUUGAAAUGUUUUAGCUUUUACUAUGUUUUUCAUUACCUUCUGGAAAUUUGCUGUCGUCUACUUUUCCUCGCUGAAAUUACCUGAUAAAGGAUGGAUCUUUAUUCAAACAUUUGCUUCUGGACUGAAGGAAUAAAAAAACUAAUGAUGGGAAGAUGACAGUAUUGUGCAGUUGCUUGUACUCCUGCAGAAAGUGAACAAUACUUAUAGAACUGGUUGUUCCUUUAGUAUAGAAUUGUUGCUUCUCCCAUGAUCAACCUUUGAUGUUUAGCUGCAUGGUAUCGAAGUGGUUGAAUUAAAGUUACUCUUCCACCUAUUUGCAUAAGCUAUCUGAUGGGUUGUUCAUGUUAUAACGUGAGUUCAGUGCGGAGGGGAAGAUGGGGAAAAUCACGUUUUCAGUUUCUAUUUAUGGCUUUUAGAUAAGUUGGAAGUGGCGCCACAAAUUUUAGUACUUGUAAGGACCAACAAUGCGUCUCAUUCGUGCAGCUGGUUUUCUCUUAUCAGCAUUUUGGGCGACUGGUUUGUUGACUUGAUUAUGUCAAUGGCCAUGCAAUAAGUAAAUACAGGAGUAAGAGUUUGUCCAGUGUCUCCCAUUCGAUGGAAAUAUUAAGAAUCGGGAGAUUCACAAAGCGUUUGGAUUGGUAUCGAUGUGAACCCGUAAACACCGUGCCAAAAGAUGCCGGCAUCUCCUGCUUAAAUUGAGUCCAGCUCCUGAAGAUUGUCCUGGUCGUCAAGUUCAUCCCAUCCUUCGACUAUGGCCGCUUCAGUUGCAUACAAAAGCUCGACUAUUUAACCUGCAUUUUAGCUUUCCUGCCCAAAAUUAAAGUGAGUUUGAGUGCUUCACUGUUGAAGGAAAGCAUUGUUGUGUACAUCUUGAUCAUCUUGCUCAGUGUUGUAGCGAGUGGAUACAAUGGACGGACCUCCAAAUCCUCCACCUGUUCAUCCUUUGCAUCGUAUUAUGGUGGCCAUCCGCCACCUCCGUCAUUCCUCGUGGCUGAUACAUGUCCAACACCAACACCAGGAUCCCAAGUGGCGCCAGUUUCUAGAACGCCUUUUCUUGGUUAUGGACAACAUCCUGUCUUACGUUGACCGCCAUCAGCUCCCCCCGGCCACGGUGCGCCGUCACAUAAGGGCUAACCAGCUUCAACCCCUCGAGCACCGCCAAUAUAUGGAUCUCCUCAACGUCCAUCAGCAUCACCUCUGCGAGUUUUUCAACCAACUCCGCCAGUUCAUGAACCCCCUACGCCGUUACUUCCUUCGGCUCCCCCAAGAGCGAUUUGCUCAGCAUAGGCAGAACGUCGACUUGCUCUACCGAUUCACAUACAACAUGUAAGUCCACCACCUCCUUAUAGGCGACCAAGCCCACCCCCGUGCAAUAAGUCAGGUCCCCAUUUUGUUUUCCUUUGCCCCUGUUUGCCACUUUCCUCACUAGUUGAAUCACCACUGCCUAGCUUCUUAUUUCCUUGAAAGAUGGGAACCAAUGAACCUGAUAACUUGUUCUUUAGUAUGACAAAACCAGAUUUCUUGCCAAACAUGGAGACCUUUGAGCUAGAUGAUGAUGCUGCUGACACCCCUGCCAUCUUUAAUCCAGCAGGUUCAACAUCAAAUGAUUGGUCAACCUUCGUGUUCAUUCUCUCUCCUAUGGUAGAACUGGAGUCCUAUUGAAGAGAUGAGCAGUAAAGUGGUGGCACUCAAAAGACUUAAACUUAAUUCACCUUGCAUGUUUGCAUACAAUAGUCAAAUAGACAAAGCGCUUACAUAGUCAAAGAAACAGAAUUUCCAAGCCAGUAUACAUUCAAGUUCAAGACAUUGGCAACGCUAUUCUUCUAAUUCAGCAUCCUUUCGAGGAAGAUAGAUGGCUCGUUCACAAGCUAAAAAGAAAUGCAAGUUGAGUGGUUUUCAUCCCAAAGAAGGUGCUAAGACUACCAAGUGUACAAUUUAUUUAUUUUUUUGUGGUAGAAAUAAUGGACGAUUUUUUUUUGGGUCGAGAAAUAAUGGACGAUUGAUGCAUCUUAAUCCAAACAAAGCUUGCACACGCCCUCAACCUACAGCAAUGCAAGCAAGGAGAUUGGAAGGAAUCUUCAGCUGAUCAUUAAUUGACAAGAGAAUAGAGUAAACUGAAAAGAAAUUUAGACCAUUAGUUCUUUUCUAGAGCUAGCAAUUGUUUAACUAGCUCAAGCAUUUUUCAUGUGGUAGUGCAUGGAGUAAUCAAUCAAGUGGUACCACAAAAACAUGCCCACUAAUUAUGAUCCAUUGGCCAUCAGCAAAAUUAACAUAUAGAUGUGGUGAUUACAAAGGUAACAAUAAUCAAGUCAUUCAUGAGGUUCAGCUACUUAAGUGUGCUUAGGCUCCGCAUGAGAACGUUUUUGUUCCUUCGGAUUUCUAUUUUUUCGUUCCCCGGAAUAAAUAAAUAAAAUAGAAAUCCGUUUGGUAACGCCAAGUUGUUUUUCUAUUCCUCGGAAUAGAACGUUAACCCAGCCGGUGGGCUGCCAGUGCAGGAGAGUGGACGUAGGCUUGGAUUAAGCCGAACCACUAUAAACCUUGUAUUCUUAUUCUAUUCCCUAAACUCUUUUACUUUACUUGUAAUAUUAUUUAACUGUUAGAGUCUCGCUUCUAUUUUAAAGUCUAUUGCUAAACAGACUUAGGUUAAACUUAAGGUUUUACACUGUACUUUGCAAAAGUUUGUUUUCGCACCUAUUCACCCCCUCUAGGUGCUCAUACUAGCAUUCACAAUUGGUAUCAGAGUCUGUGUACUCAUUUAAAUUGAAGUGUUUUUACUUCAGAGUUAACGAUCCAUGGUUAGUAUGUUAGCUCCAAGCUUGGUUGAAGGGUAAAGCAACACCAGAUCGCCAUACUUUGAUGGGAAGGAAUACAACAUAUGGAAAAACAAAAUGAAUGCAUUCCUAAGAUCGAAAGACCCUCUUGAAUGGGAUGUGGUAGAUAAAGGAAUUAUUCUAAAACUACAACAGUCUCAAAAAGGGGAAAAGAAGCUGUUGAGUCCAGCGAUAUGACUCAAGAAAAGAUAACCAAGAGACAAGCUCUUGAUGCAAAAGCAAUUUAUUCUUUAUAUUGUGCAUUAUCUCUUACUGAAUAUAACAGAAUAUCUUCUUAUGAAACAGCUAAAGAAGUCUGGGAUAGAUUACACAUCACCUAUGAAGGAACCGAUCAAGUGAAAGAAACCAGAAUCAAUAUUCUGCUCGGUCAAUAUGAAGCAUUCAGGAUGAAACCAGGAGAAUCUAUCGUUGACAUGUUUAGCCGUUUUACAGAAAUCGUGAAUAGUCUUGAGUAUCAAGGUCAAUCAAUCUCUGGACCCAUGAAGGUUAACAAACUACUACGUGGACUUUCCAAAGAUUGGAAUCACAUAAAGACCUCAAUAAUGCCACUCUCUGUUGACAAAUUGGUUGGCAUUCUUUAGUCUUAUGAAGUGGAGCAAAUAAAUGAAGAUGAGGAUCCCAAAGGUAAAAAAUCUAUUGCAUUAAAAUCUAAUGACCAUUCUGAUGUUACAGAUUCUGAAGACGAUAUGGACGAUGAAGAGCUUGCUCUCAUGAUAAGAAGGUUCAGAAAACUGAACAAGAAUGGAAAAAGAUUCAAUUCAAAGAAACAAAGUUCUCAAAAGUUUCAAAAUAAAUCAGUUGAGGAUGAUGAUUCCCAUAAAGAUGUGAUUUGUUUUGAAUGCAAGAAAAAGGGACACAUUAGACCCAACUGUCCCUUACUGAAGAAAAAUAAAGGAAAAGUUGAGAAAUACAGAAAAGCUCGCAAAGCAGAAACUUGGAGUGAUACCGAAUGUGAAGAGAGUGAUGAUGACUAUGCUAAUAUUUGUCUAACGGCAUAAUCAGACUCAGAUUCAGGCUAUGAGAUAGACUCAGACUCAGACAGUGAAAUUGAGGUAAGUAAUUUAAAAAUUCCUACUAAAGUCUUUAAAUAUAUUGAUGAAUUGUGUCUUAGUUUCAAAACCUCUCUCAAGAGGAUUUCUGAACUAAAAAGAGAAAAUUCAGUACUAAAGCAACAAGAGAUUGUUUGGAAAGAAAAAGUCGAAAAUUUGGAUAAAAGUGUCAUUACUUUGAAAGAAAAUGAAAAUUCACUUUCAAAAGAAAAUGCACUUUUGAAAAAUGAUAUCUCAAGUAUUUCAAAAAGGUUUUCUAUAGGUUCUGAGAAAUUAGAAAAGAUUCUUUCAGCACAAAGACCUUACUUUAACAAAUCAGGUUUGGGAAUGACUGCUGAAAUCAUUCCUCUAAUUGAUUUUCCUAAAGUAAAGAAAAGAAUUAAACAAAGACCUACAAAAGAUUUUUAUAGAAAUCAUUUUCGGAAAGUCUUUGUAAAACCUGUAGGCCGCAGUACUCUUAAAUGUGCUAAGUGCAAUAACUCAGAUCAUUUUGAGAAAGAAUGUCCGAUGGUUUGAAAACCUAUUAAGAAGGUUUGGGCAAAGACCGUAUAUUGCACUAACUCCAUUGGACCCAAGAAAGUAUGGGUACCAAAGAAAGCUUGAGUUUCUUUUCUAAAUGUAGGUAAUUAUCAAGAAAAAGGUUAAAUGGUACUUGGAUAGUGGAUGCUUAAGACAUAUGAUAGGAGACUCAAAUUGUUUCAUAAAGCUUGUGCAAGUUAAUGGUGGAAAAGUCUCUUUUGGAUGAAAUAACAAAGGCAGAAUUGUGGGAUACGGAAUCAUAAAGAUUGGAAGUCUCACAAUCAGUAACGUUUCCUUAAUGGAAGGACUUAACUACAACUUGUUGAGUAUCAGCCAAUUGUGCGACACAGGUUACAAAAUCAACUUUCAAGAACGAAUAUGUUCAGGAACCAGUAAAGACUCCCCUCAGACAUUCAUAGGGCGAAGACAUGGGAAUAUAUAUCUCUUGGAUAUCAAUCUAGAAAAAUCUCAAUGUCUAAUUUCAAUUAAAGAGGAAGUAAAUCUCUGGCAUAGAAAACUUAGGCACAUUAACAUGAAGCAAAUAGCCAAGAUCUUUGCAAAGAAGCUUGUUCGUGGACUACCCAACCUGACAUACCAAAAAUCUGAUCUAUGCACACCAUGUGUGUAGGGAAAACGGGUAAGAAAUUCAUUCAAACCAAUAAAUCAAGUUUUUGCUAAUCGUGUACUGCAAAUCUUGCAUAUAGAUCUCUUUGGACCAACCAAAACCCAAAGCAUUAGAGGUAAGAAAUAGUGACUAGUAAUAGUGGAUGAUUAUUUACGAUUCACUUGGGUAUAUUUCCUGGCAAGUAAGUCUGAAACCUUUUCUUAUUUUAUCAAAUUUGCUAAGAAAGUCCAAAAUGAGAAAGGGUAUGUCAUUUCAAGUAUACGGACAGACCAUGGAGGUAAGUUUGAAAAUUUAAGACUUUGCUAAAUUCUGUGAUGAAUCUGGUUUUCAGCAUGUGUUCUCCUCACCAUAUACUCCAGAACAAAAUGGAGUUGUGGAAAGGAAGAAUAGAUCAUUGCAAGAAAUGGCUAGAACUUUAUUAAUUGAAAGUAACAUUUCCUCUCGUUUUUGGGCUAAAGCAGUUUUUAUAGCGUGCUAUAUUAUUAAUAGAGUCUUCUUAAGGUUAAGGCUUAUUCUGGAGAAAACUUCCUAUGAGUUGUUCAAAGGAAAGAAGCCAAUUGUUUCCUAUUUUCAUGUGUUUUGAUGCAAAUAUUUUAUAUUGAAAAAUGCAAAUGAUCGAAUUGGUAAGUUUGAAGAAAAAUCAGACGAAUGUACCUUCCUUGGAUAUUCAACCACCAGCAAAGCUUACAGAGUAUACAACAAAAAGACUCAAUCUGUGGAGGAAUCGAUGAAUGUCAAAUUUCAAGACUUUAUGCAAAAUCAAUCGAUUCAGACCCAACCUAAAGAAUCUGAAUCUGCUCCAGACUCUACAAAAUCUAAAUCUCCAGAAGCAACUCAGAUUUCAGAAGACCAGCAACGAAUGAUCGUUGAAGAAUCAAAUGAAGAAAAAGAACAACAAUCUGACAAAUCAACCAGCAAUUGGAAGCACAAGUCUAGUCAUCCCAAAGAACUCAUUAUUGGUGACAUUAAUGAAGGAAUUCGUACAAGAUCCAAAAUGCGUGAAGAGUCUAGUGCUGUGGCUCUUAUUUCUGAAAUAGAACACAAGAGCAUAGAAGAAGCUUUAGCUGAUGAAAGCUAGAUUGAAGCUAUGCAAGAAGAACUCAAGCAAUUCAAUAUCAAUGAUGUCUAGGAAUUGACUCCUAAACCAAAAGGUAAAUCUAUUAUUGGAGCUAAAUGGGUUUUUAGGAACAAGAUGAACGAGAAAGGAAAAGUUAUAAGGAACAAAGCAAGACUCGUGGCCAAAGGAUAUACGCAAGAAGAAGGGAUAGACUAUGAUGAGACUUACGCACCAAUAGCAAGGUUAGAAACAAUUAGAUUAUUACUUGCUUUUGCGUGUUAUAAGAAUUUCAGGUUAUUCCAAAUGGACGUCAAAAGUGCUUUCCUAAAUGGAUUUAUCCAAGAGGAAGUCUAUGUGGAACAACCUUCUGGUUUUGAAGACCCAAGGAAAUCAGACUCUAUAUUCAGACUAAAAAAGGCACUAUAAGGUUUAAAGCAAGCACCUCGAGCUUGGUACGACAGGUUAAGUAAGUUUUUAAUUCAAAAUGACUUUGUUAAAGGUAACGUAGAUACUACUCUGUUUUUCAAAAGAGAAAGUAAAAACUUUUUACUUGCUCAAAUUUAUGUUGAUGAUAUUAUUUUUGGAUCACCUAACGAAAAUCUGUGCAAGAAAUUCUCUAAGAUUAUGCAGGAUGAGUUUGAAAUGAGCAUGAUGGGUGAACUAUCCUUCUUUCUUGGACUUCAAGUAAAACAAUUGAAGGAAUGAACUUUUAUCCACCAAGAAAAAUAUGCUAAAGAACUUGUUAAAAAGUUCGGCUUGGAGAAUUGCAAAAAGACUAAUAUACUAAUGUUAAGCUCCUUGAAGCUAGACAAAGAUGAAGGAGGAAAGAAAGUUGACCAAAAGUUAUACAGGAGUAUCAUUGGUUCACUUCUUUAUCUUACUGUUUCUAGACCUGACAUUUUGUUUAGUGUUUGUAUUUGUGCAAGAUUUCAAUCAGAUCCCAAAGAAUCUCAUUUAAGUGCUGCAAAACGCAUCAUCAAAUACGUUGCCUCAAUUUCCAAUUUGGGUCUUUGGUAUCAUAAAAAAUGAGACUUUACUCUCCUUGGAUAUUCGGACGCAAACCUAGUAGGAUGUAGAGUUGAUAGAAAGAGCACCUCGGGCACUUGUCAAUUACUUGGGAAUAGGACAGUAUCUUGGUUUUCAAAAAAGCAAAGUACUGUAGCUCUUUCAACAACAGAAGUAGAAUAUGUGGCUCUUGGAAGUUGUUGUUCACAAAUUUUGUGGAUAAAGCAACAGCUAAGAGACUUUGGAAUCGAAGACUCAUGCACUGAGAUCAAAUGCGAUAACACCAGCGUGAUUAAUCUCACCAAGAAUCCAAUUCUUCAUUCGAAAGCAAAGCACAUAGAGAUUUGACAUCAUUUUAUUAGAGAUCAUGUUCAAAAUGGAGAAGUCUCGAUUCAAUUCAUUGACUCAAAGAAUCAACUAGCAGACAUAUUUACAAAGCCUUUGGAGAAAAGUCAAUUCAAGCUUAUUCGUUCCAGACUCAAUAUCUUAAAGUCUGAAGAAGUUCAGACUCAGGGAUAAAAGUAUAAAGAUACUCAGACUCAGACGAUCAAGAUUCACGACUAUAAGUUAUUUCUAUUUUAGAAUUUUAUUUGUCGGAUAAAAUUUCGAAAAGGUACGAUCAUCUAUUAAUCUGUAAUUGAUUGAUGUUAUCUUCCCCAGUUUUCAUGAUUAUUGCAAUCAUUCCUUUUCGAAAAAGAAGUUAUCUUUUGAAAUGACGGUUAUCUAUUUUUCAAAAAGGUAGUUAUUUUUGAAAAGGCAUUUUCUAUUUUUCCUUUUACAUCAUUUCGUAUACCUCUUUUCAACUGCCUUAUAUACUGAUCGUCUUCCUCACAAACCCUAAAAGCACAGACCAUCACUUUCUUAUUUUUACUCUCUAGUUUAAUCUGCAAAGUUCUCACCUUUUUCGCGAAUCGAAUUUGGAAUCUCUCAAAGACUGUGAGAAUGGCUUCCCAAAGAAAGUCUUCAAGGAUAGCGAACAGGGGACCACAACACAUGCGUGAGGGUCCUAUGCAUUUUGAUCUCACCGAGGAAGAAGAAUCUCCAAGACAGCAGUAAAACCCUCAACAAUCUCAACCGCGUCAAUCUCCUCAAGCUAAACCUCAAGGUGUUGAUCAAAGAGCGGAGGAAGAAAUCAUUGAAGAGGCAGAACCUGUAAGAACUCAAAAGCCUGCUUUUAUCUUUAAACUUUACUCUACUUUGAAGAAGGGAGGCACUCCCUUAAACUAUAUUAAUGCAUUUUUGAAAGAGAAAUGAUAUCAAAAUGAAACCCACUUUUUGCCUAUAAUGGAACGAUUGGGAGUUGCUCCUGCGGGGUCGGCAUAACGAGCUUUUGCAAAUAUCCCUAGUGAUCCACGUAUUGGAGGUCUUAGUCAGCCUGAUGGGAAUGAUGAUGACAAAAUGUACACUCAUUUUAAGCCUAGAAUGGGUGUUGCAGCGAAUAUUCAAAGCAAAAGGAUAGACUUGUUUCGCUCGGAGGAACACAAGCGACUUUACUCCAAGUUGCUAAAAAGAGGGGUGAUCAAUCCAAGAAGUGUGGACUUUGAUUUUCUUGAUUCUUUGAAUGUGAAGCUGAGAGAGAAAUUCACUCAACUUCAGUUUGAGCAAUUUUGUUAUGAGACGACAGAGGCAUAUCGAGAACUUACUGCCUAUUUCUAUUCUAAUCUAAGUUUCUUGGAUGCAAAUAGAUUUUCUUUUAGUGUUCGAGACCAGGACUAUAUUAUUGACAUGGACACAUUGGCGGAUGUGAUUAGAGUAGAGCGAGGGGCAUUCCAAUCAAUCAAUGUGUCUGUUGGUCAUGCGACGGUAGAGCUUGUGUGUGAUGGAAUGGCAGAAGGAAAGAUUUCGUACUUGAGGAUGAAUGCCUCAAAUAUUUUGCUUCACAAGAUCGUGAUCAAUUGCCUCAGACCCAAAUUGACUUCGAAGACCGACGUCUCCAACUCGGAAGCAAAGUUGAUGUAUGCUAUCAACGCUGGCAAAAAGUUCUCUCUGCCUCACACAAUCUUGUUUCACAUGUAUAGAACGAUGCUGAAAGACAAGGGACAACUUCCUUACUUAGCGCUUGUUACAAAGUUGUUUAGACAUUUGAAUAUUCAACCUCCCAGGAUUCUGUGUGUUCAAUCUUGUGAUCAAAUGGUGGUAGGACUGAAAAAGAUUUCCAAAAUGCGUCUGAAAGAGCUGGACAAGGCUUUGGAGCGAUUAAAUGAGAAAACUCCUGUCAAGACUCAUCAAGUUUCUUCGGCUGCAAAACGGAAAGGGAAGAAGCCCAUGACAGCUCCAUCCAAGAAAAGAAGAGCACUCAUCCUGGAGGAUGAAGAGGAUGAGGACGAUAUAAUCAUUUCCGCUCUUGCAUUGAGAAGCUUACAUCAUUCUGUUUCAGUGACAGAGGAGAGAAAGGAUCAAGACAGAGAAGAGUUCGAACAAAGGAGUGGAGAGAGAGAAUCAAUGCAAAAAGAAGCAGAGGAAGAGAGGAUUGCAGAAGAAGAAGAAGGCAGAGGUGAACAAGAGGAAACAGAGCAUGAAGAGUACUUCUCACCGCCUGAAGGCAAUGAAACAAGGGGAGUAGUUGAGAAAAGAGGUACAUCUUUAAUUGCCUUUACAAGUGAAGGUGUUAGUCGUUCACCUGCAAAUCUAGAAGACAUCUAUGCAUCUCAAUUUCCAGAGAAAGGUCAUGAGAUUUCAUCGCCAAAUCUGAGUGAUCAUGCUGACUUGCCAUCAUCUGCCAAUACUCCUACUAAUAACGCAAAAGCUAGCACUCAGACUGAUAAUUCACCAAACUUUCGAAGAUUGCUUGAUAUUCUUAUGGAGAUGCGAGGACAGAUUUAUGCCCUGGGAUGUGAAGUUCAGAACUUGCAAAAUGCAGGUCAAGCAUCUUUAGUUUCCUUACAUGAUCAAAUCCAUGCCUUUGCUCUUCAAGUUCAGGCAAAUGCCAAGGGUGAAGAAGUGGCUUAACUGAAGGAGGAUUUGAAAAAAUUGAAAGGGAUUGUCCAGUUGAUGGGAGAUUUCCAACUUAUUCACGUUCCAAAGCAAUCUUAAUUUCAUUAUCUUUUUGUCUCUACUUUUUUCAUGUUGACAAAAAGGGGGAGAUGGUGCAGAUUUGAAUUGACUCUUGUUUGACUUGACUUUUGAUUAACUUUUACUUUUGUUUGGUUGUUUGGUUGUGACUUGAUUUGGACUAGGAUUGUUUGAUCAUUUGCUGCAGUAUCUUAAGCAUUGUUGGUAUUUCAUGGCAAAGAUAGUUGUUUAUUUACAGGACUAACUUUAUUAUUUCCUGUGGAUGCAGAUCUAAUGUUAUCUUUACUAAGCCAAUUAUCUUUUGUGAAAUAUUCAUGUUUGCUUGAGUAUUGUCUUGCAGGUCAAAAGUAUCCAUAUUUGCAGGAAAGUUUUGUCACCAUCAAAAAGGGAGAGAUUAUUGGAGAAAACUUCUGUAUUUGUUUUGAAGUUGACAAAACAUUUCCAUCAGUCUAGUCUGAAGACUUGUAGACUCUCUCAUCAAAGUCUGAAGACCGCCGAACCUCUAGACUUAAGAUUCAAAGUCUACCCUCAUCGACAGUUUCUAGACUGUCAAAGAAGACUUAUCCAGAAUUGAGUAUUUCUUUAAGGAUUUGAUUCUAUCAACUGAAGAAGAUCUCUCGACUGGAUAUAGCAUCUCGAAAUCUAUUAUUCGUUUUGAUUUCAAUUCGGGUAAUUUAGAUCCGUUGAUUGGCGAAGCAUACUUGGAAGGUUUUACUUAUGGAAACCUAGAUCCUGAUUGUAUGAGCGAGCAUGAUUGGUGGGCUAUCGUCAUGUUUAUUAAAUAACUCGAGAUCUCUCUAAUUGAUUCUGUCCAACGGGUAGAUUGGAAGAGCUCCUUUGGAAAGUGCUAACGGCUAUAAAGGCAUGGAGGAGUAUAUAAGGAAGAUGUUCUAGUUAUUCAAGUGUGUGCGUGAUAGAUAAAUUACAAAGUCUGAAACUCCUUGUUCUUUGUCAAUUCAAUUGUUGAGCGUAAACUUGUACUCAAAAGAGAGUUUAUACAUUUGUGAGACCUUGAGGAAGUGUAGCAGAGUCUCUACACUGUGGAAUCAAGGACGUGAUAUUGUAACGACUCUUUUGAUUCAUAGUGAAAUCCAACCGGUGGGCUAUUAGUGCGGGAGAGUGGACGUAGGCUUGGAUUAAGCCGAACCACUAUAAACCUUGUGUUCUUAUUCUCUUCCCUAAACUAUUUUACUUUACUCAUAAUUUUAUUUAACUGUUAGAGUCUCGCUUCUAUUUUAAAGUCUAAUGCUAAAUAGAGUCAAGUUAAACUUAAGGUUUUACACUGUACUUCGCAAAAAUUUGUUUUCGCACCUAUUCACCCCCUCUAGGUGCUCAUACUAACAUUCACAGCUAGUUCUCCAUGUUGGCCAUGCGUAUGCUGACAUCCUCAUUCUCCAUCCUGGCUUUUACGCAAGUACGAAUUAGAGAUCUCCUCUUAGCCGUGUUGACGGUCGGAUAAAAAUAGACAACCUGUUAGUACCUAAACAAGGAUAGAUAAGCAUAUAUAAGCAUUGAGUAAUGAUUAGGCGGUCGGUCCAUGACAAAGAUCUAAUCGCCUCAAUUUGUUCAUUUCAUUGAAAGCAAGAUUGCUACAUAAUGCAGGAGAAGACAUGAGGGAUACCCCCUAAACAACGAAGCUAAUCAUGACUCUUAUCUCCUGAUAUUGCGACACAAGACAAGUUCUUUAACAUUGUAACAUAUGUGGGUAUGGGCCCAUUACAUAUCACAUUUGACUCAAUCUAACUAACGAGGACAGCUCCCGCUUGUGGCAGCUCCACUAACUCGGGUCAACUUCGAGGUGCGCUCCUCAGCUUCUUCGAGCUUCCUUUUGAGGCACUUGAUCUCGGCUCGGUGGGUGGUCUUUAAUGGCACGUCGGGAAUUUUCGGGCGUAGGCUCUUUGGGAUUUUGUGCCUAAGGAUGUAUUCCAUCGAGGCAUAAUAAGUCUUCUUUUGCCCUUCCAACUCCUCUUCAGGCCAUAUUAGCUUCCGGGGGUGGCACAUAUCCCACAUCGACUUGACUAACACGACGGAGUCUUCGUGAUCUUGGCAUCUGUUAGGGAAGUCUAUCCUAAGUGGGUCUUCUUGAAUCGUCGGUGGAAGUUGUUGAACCUCUUGAAACUAGUGGGCAACUCGGGUCGGGUAAUACUCAGUGGCUAGUAAUUCCCAACAAAGGAACAAGUCCAGUAAGCCCACACACGAACCUCGCUUCUCAAACUCAGAGCCAUUUGGCAUGCCGUUGGAAAUCUUCGGGUCCAGGGUUGGUCAUGAAAACUAACCACUCAAAAUAAUGAUAAUUGGGGGCAUUCCAACUCAGGACCCUUUGCGAUUUUGAGAAGAGUUGCUCUUUGGAGAGCACAGUACGAUGAAAGUUGUAAGCUGUGUUUGGGGGGGAGUUAUUGUCUAUCGUUGGCCUUUAUGGUAGAAUCAGCCGGGGGGCCAAAGAGGUGAUGGUUUAUCCUGUGGCAGAUGUCAGCGGUUCGAGUCCACUUAUCUCCAACUCGUUAUCUCUAACUCGUGAACUUAGCCGAUACAAAGCUAUAUGAUAGCACCCGAUUUUUCCAAUUCGGCAGUUAACGUCUUCCUAUCUUUGAACUUCAGGAUAGGGUGGCUAGAGUCAGGGAUGUCGUUCACGGUCAUCAAGCUACCAAACCCCUUAACGUAAGAAAAGAACCAAAUUUGUAAGAGUUAUGGAGGAGUAUGGAAAGUUUUGUUUUUGUUUUCUUUAAAACGAGUAAGGGAAAGAAAAGUUUCCGUCAAGAUGGCGUUAACAAAGCCCUUUCCCAUACAUACCUCACGAACUACCCAUGCCACGGAAGGGUUAAUAGUGUUCCUACAAUGUGGGAAUAACACGAAUCCAAAGAAAGCUAACAGGAAGAUCCUAUUUUUUUUAAAAGAUUGGGCAUUUUGAAAAGGCUCAUUUAGGAAUGAAAACGGAUAGGUCUUGCGAUUGGCUUUCAAAAAUUUCCUCACGUCAUCCUCCUUAACUCUAAAGAAAUUAGAUAAGGUCGAUAUGCUCAAUCCCUACAAGUGGGCCAAUUAACUCCGACACCAAGAGUUUUCCCAUGGCAACACUGCAUUCUUCUAGGGUUGGAGUGAGUUCGUGGUCACUGAAUAUAAACGUGCAAGUCUUGGGACACCAGACAUGCACCAACGCUUGUACAACACCAUAAUGAGUUUCUAUUUCUAAGAGGGGAAGUAAUCGUCCGACAUAGGAUCGUACCCAAUUAUGGCCAGUCGGGUCUAGUCUAUCCCACCAUGUGCGAAGCUCGGCUUUCAGGGCAUCAAUGAUGUGAAGCUCGGGUAUCCCCAUCGUAUACUACUCACAGUUACAAUCAACCUAAUUUGCCAUGAACCAACCAAAAGGAAAGCAAAUAAGUAAAUUGCAAAGGAAAGAAUUCGAAAAUUUUACCCUACUCAUUGAGUAGCAAAGCCAAUGACAUAGACAUACACAUGGACGGUGGUUCAAUUUAUACUAUAAAUGGCUCAAAAUUGAGCCACAAGAUCACCGGACUGAACCAGCAAGGUCGCAGUUAGGUCGGGUUACCCAUAACUCCGACUUUGUCAAAGAACCGACCCGUUUCGCGCGGUUGCAGACCGGGGUGGGUACCUUCGACAUGAAGAAAGAAAUUUCGGGGUUAAGGUGGGCGACUCGUACUACGCGGUUGUAGUUGGAGUGGUAUCCACCUCAACACCAUCCUAGGUGAUCCUAUGUGGCCCAGGUCCGGCGGUAGGUUGUGUGUGCUAUGGUGUAGUGUAAUGCAAGAAAUGCAGACAUGACAAUUUAUAAACAAGGAACACUUCAUACAUACAUAAAAUUUAAAUAAAAUAAAAAAAAAACCAUACAUUUCUACACAUUUUGGCAAGACAAAGGUGAGCAAACACUUCCCCUUAUACCUCCCAUUCAGCAUGAACAUUAAACAACCGACAUGUUAGGGAUGUACUUAGGAUCCUCGCUACAAAACGAAAAUAUUUUUGAACAAGAUUAAUUUUGGCCUAAGUCCUCUAAGGUCUAAAACCAAAUCCCCAAUGGAUUCACCAAGCUGUCGCGACCUACCCUUAGGGGAGGGAAUAGGUUUAGGGGUAUUGCCUAAAAGAUGGGCCUAAGGCCCAUGAUUAGGCUAAGCUCUCCCAAGCCCAUACCCCGUGUGACAUUGGAAUAUUUUUUAGGAAUUUUGCAAUGAGGAGUCGCCACUAGCCUAUUGGGGUCAGCUAGAAACCAAGUGAGGCAUGGGAGUGCACCUCACUUCCUACAUAACUAGAGAAUCUAUAAUCGGGGACUUGAUUAUACUAAUUGACCAAUUAGUGCCAUUUCGGUACCUAAUCUUGUUCAUUGUAAGAGUAAAAAAAUUUGUCAGGCAGUUUGGAUUAAUUUUAUACCUAUCCACUAACAUGCAAGGUGAUCAUGCCGGUGUGCAGUAAAAUUGCAAUAAAAUUAAACACGUGCAAUUGAAUAUUCACAAACAUAAUUAAAUAUGCAAAUUAAACAUGCUAUAUAAUUAACAUACGAGCAAAUAAAGGCUUAAUUACACUAAAAAAAAAUGCAAUACAUAGCGAUUCCUAACCAAAUCCUACGUUUUUUAAUUUUCAAAAUUUUUAAUUUUUUUUAAAUUUUUUUAAAUUUUUUUAAAUUUUUUUAAAUUUUUAAUUUAUUUUUUAUCUUUUAAUUAAUAAAUUUUUUAUUUUACAAUUUUUUUUUAAUUUUUUUUAAUUAAUUUAAUUAAUUUUUUUAAAACAAUAAUUUUUUUUAAUUAAAAAAAAUUGGCGAACCAGGUUGGGUCUAGUUUGACCCGACCCGAGGUUCAGCCCAGUUGUUGCGGCUUAGGUCGGGUCUACGACCGAACCCGGGUUUGACCUGGCCGGGCAGGCUUGACCCGGGAUCCUCUUUUCCUAUUUCCUCUCUCUUUUUUAAAAAAAAAAGAAAAGAAAAGCCUAGCCCGAAUCGAAAUUAGACCUUAUUCCCUAAAAAAGAGAGGGGCCCAACCUAGCGAUGAAUCAUGCCAUUCGCACAGGCCUGAAGCGAAGCCCAUUUCCUAUUUUCUAUUUUCAGCCUUUUUGUGUUUUCUUUUCUCUUUUUCUUUUAUUUUCUUUUGCAUUUUUUCUUUUGGGUGUCUUCUUCGAGCCCUCCUCUUGCAACCACAGCUCGCCGAAGCUACUGCAGCUCCUCCACCGGACCGACACCGCCUAUGCCAUGAGUAUUGACCGCCCUAAAGAAAGUCGCCGGGCCACCGCCUAGUGUCGGUGGUUCUAUUCGACUGACGCCGAGCACCAUCGGCUACUAGUUAGUUGGCAUUCCGAGAGGCACUGGGUAGACCCCGGCAAGGCGUGCGCUUCAUCUCACCCAAAUAGCACAAAGGAACCUACUGAAAAGCUAGGAAAACAAUGAGAAUGGUGUGUGACAACAGUAUAAUCCCAAGCAACGCAGAGAAACCAAGAGCCAAGCUCCGAUCGAGGGUUGGGUUCGGCCGUUUCAAAGAGGCAUUUCGUCGAACAGCUAUUGGGCACUACCAAACUCAAAGGUUUCCGGCUCAACCGAGCUUCGAUGCGCUUUAGGGGUCUUCGAACAUGAUGUACGAGGAAGACGGGAGAAAAAUGCAAAAGCAACAUGGAUCAGAGCUCACGCGAACCGGUUGGCCGCGAGCUUCGAUCCGGCGUUUUCUAGAAACAAGACCAAGGGGUUCAGGAGACCUACCUUGUCUGGUGUUAGGCUACGGCGGACGAUGGCGGGCGAAAGGACCUCUGGUGACAACGAGCUACUCCCUCAAGCUCUUUGGUUCGAGCUCUUCCCUUUGAACUCCCACUCCGCCUCUCUGUGUGUUGCGGUCUAUUGGGCUCCGGUAGGGUUGGAGGCGAAGGGCGACUCCGGUAAUGAUCAAUGGCAGUGGUCGACCGUUCAGAGGGAUCCUCUCUUCCUCGCGCCGGUCCUCUCUUUGGUUUCUCCCUGUGUUUUUCGCUUGGUGUUUUUGUGGUGCCACCCCUCCGCUCUCUAUCCUCUCCUCCGAUUUUAUGCUCGGCCAGCGCGCGUGGCCUUUGCAGUUGCCAACUUGCCGGUCGGACUGCCCCCCCGACCCGCGGAUCACGCCACUCGCCUACUACCCCGAUCCCCUACUCUCAGUCGCUGCUCAUGCUUUUCUAUUCUCUGCAGGUCGUUGCGUGAAGGACAGCAGGAGGGAGAUGACCAGCUCGUGCGCGGGCUGGGCUGAAGGGAAAAAUAAAAACAAAGGCUAGGCCAGGCCUAGCACAAAGUAAAGAGGAAAGGAAAGAGAGGAAUGAGCCUACUCAAGGCUUGUCCGAACUUGGCCUAAUUGCCCCUCUUUCUUGUUUUCUUUUUCUUUUCUUUUUUUUUAUUUUAAAUUUUUUGUAAUUAAAUAAUUAAUUUUUUGAUAAAUUUUAAAACCAGUGAUGCAAAUGCUCCUAAUGUCUAUAUGUGAUGUGAUUUUAAAGAUUUUUUUUUGUUAAGGGGUUAGAAAUCAAUCCCCAAUUUUCCAAUGCAAUUAAUAAAUACUUAAACAAAUCACCAAAAUUUAGGUGUCAACGCCUAGAAAAAGUAUUUCAAGUUUUAGCCUAUUUAUACUUUUAUAAUUAGUCAAUUAAUUAUGUAAUAUGUCAAUUAUCCCUCCCUCAUGUACCGAAAAUAUCGAUCAUUAGAUGUCGUCUUCACAAAAACAAUAUAUCGAUUUCUUGUUUAGAGAAAGAUGAAUUAUUAAUGGAACUCAAUCAUUAGAUGCGACGUGUAUGUAUAUGAAACUUUGUAUUAUAGUGGUCCUAAAUUGAUACAGGAUUUUUUCUCGUUCAUAACACAAGUGAUUUGAUAAGCUCGUGAUAAUAUGAAGUUUGGAUUGUAUGAUAAUAAAUUCAAAUUUUUAUUGCAUUUUUUUAUUAAAAAAAGAUUUCUAGCUGUUCACAAUUCAUGAUGUAUAAUUACAGUCUCCUAUAUUAGUAACAAACGCUAGAAAACAAUUCAUCAACAUAAAGCUAGAGGAUUGUUUAAUUAUGUUUGGAUAGCAAUUUUUUAAAUGGUUUUUAGGGAAAAUUCUAAAUAAGGGUCUGAAAUGUUUUCAUUUUCUCAAAUGAUGGCCUGGAGUGAAUAUUGUUUCAAAUAAGGACUCAAACUGUCUCAGUUUUUUAAAUAAGAGACUGAAGUAGACAUUAUUUAUAAUAAGAAUCUGAAGUGACUAUAUCAAUCUCAAAUAAAGGCUUGAACUCACCAGUUAUGAAGGAUGAUUUCAUCUUUUUAAAAUUUCUCCUCUUUAUUUAUUUUUUUUGGUAAAAAAAUGAACUAAAUAAAACUAAAACUUAAGAAAAAUAAAUAAAGGGAAAAAAUAGGCUCCCUCCCGCCUGUGGCCGCCGCCCCAUCGCCAGUGGGGUAGUGAUGAUGGCAAGUAGGGUUGCUGGCACUUGGGCGAGGCCCAACAACCCCCGUCAAUUAGAGGCAUGGGCCUGCUAGCCCUAGUUAGAGACAAGAGAGGGCAACGACCCUCUAUCAAUCUAGGCAAGGGUCGUCAGCCCUCACAUUGGCCUGACGGCCCUCGCCUAGGGCCCCCAAACCUUACCGCCUAGGUUUGAAGGCGUUGGGCGAGGGCCUUGCCCAAAUUUAGGAGAGGGCCGCCACUCUCUCCCUACCCUGGCGAGGGCUAACAAGCCCUCGUUGUGCCAACCCUUACUCAAGCACUAGCAACCUCUUCGUGUGUUGCCGCGGCCCCACUAGCAAGGGGAUGUGCGGCCAAAGGCGGGAAAAAGCCCUCCCGUUAGUUAUUCUCCUUCCUCUUCUUUUUUUUUUUUUAGUUGUAAUAUAAUUAAAUUAAAAAUUAAAUUGUGUUGGUCAAAAAUACCCUUUUGGGUUUUUGCUAACCGGCGAGUUGAUGAAACUAGGUCAUUAUUUGAAAUAAUGAUAACUACUUCAAACCUUUCUUUGAGAUUAAUAUUCAGUGGCUUUCCCCUUUCAAAGUUUCUCUCAUUCUGUUAGUCGUACAACUAGUGAGCUAUGUCACACAGGCAGCUCUCCUAAGUUUUUUCAUUGGAUUUUGCAAGGAAAAAACUUUAGGAUCUUCCAUUAAAGUAUCGUGGAGACAAUAACAGAGAGCCCAACAACAUCCAAAAUAUUUGAGUAAAUGAUAUGGUUCCUUGUUCCUUGGAAUUCCAGUUGCUGGAGGAGACUCUUUCUGUGUAGAACGUGCUGAACUGACUCUUGAACUAUUUAAUUUACAUUGAGAAACUUGAGAACCAUUGCAGUGUGAGCUUCUUAUUAAGUGAAUAUUUGACUGGCUUGAAAGCGGUGUGAAGGUGUAAUGUCUCCUCUGCACACUCUUUCCCUUCGCUGAUAAACAAGGUGUCUUCAGGUGCAUGUAGCUUGGAUCAAGGCAAAAUUGACCGUGGCUUUUGGUCGGGAUGCUUCAAAACCCACAAGAAGCUAAGAUGAUUUGUUAAUCGAAACAAUCUAGCUCAAGAUGUACUACUAUUUGCUCGAUAAGUUGAAACGUCCAAGGAUUGAGAUAUUUAGUCCUUGGACCAAUCGCUCAUUGUUAGCUACUGUAAUGUUAGGAGGACCAAGGUUCUGAAAUUUAUGCAGGUCUACCUGCUUAUUUGCAAGGUAGACAUGUCAAAAUGGGUUUUAAACUUAUUUAUGACCCAAUUUUUUUUAAAUGGGUCAUAUGGGUCACUUCAAAAUUGAAAAGCACAACCUUAACGGGUUUUAAAAUUCAAAGGUUAAAAUAAAUGUGUCUGUUAAGCUUAAAACCCGUUUCCAACUUACUUGGAUUUUGAAAUUAUGUAGGUUCACUUGCUGUCCGCAACGCUAGAUAUGGAACUUAGCAUACGGAAUUUAAUCAUGUAAUAUUCAUUUUUAAUUGAAAAAGCAGUUCUAGGGAAUUGCUAUUGUGGAUCUAUGUGCAAAGAGCUCCUUGUGAACUUAGGAUGUAGAAUUUAAUUAAGUGAUAUAUCAUUUUUAAUUGAAAUAGCAGUUCUAGGGAACGGCUUCAGUGAAUUUAUGUGCAAAGAGCUUGUUGUGAACUUGACAGGUGGAAUCAAAUCAAGUAAUAUAUCAACUUUAAUUGAAAUAGCAGUUCUAGGGAAUGCCUAUUGUGGAUUUAUGUGCAAAGAGCUUCUUGUGAACUUAGCAUAUAUAAUUUAGUCAAAUAAUAUUUCAUUUCAAUUAAAAUAGCAGUUCCAGGGAAUGGCUAUUGUGGAUUUAUGUGCAAACAACGUCUUGUCGUGUGUGGAAUUACUAUUUGGACUCUGUUUCGCCUAAAAAUUUGAAUUGGAACUUAAACCUGGCAGAGAUGAGACAAAAGUUAAUUUCUUCCUUCAAGAACAAAUAUGUGACUGCCACUAAAUCACACAUCUUCAUUAGUAAUAAGCUUAUACCCGAUCUCCAUCUGCAACUACAAUUUUGCCUUCUAGCAGUGUAUAUCUAGAUUUAGUGUCCCCAACACCAUCACCAUACGGAGAUAACAUAAAUAUAUAGUAGACACGAAAUGCCAAAACUUUUAACACAAAAACGUUGAACGAUCGCAAAUUUAACAUUGAAGUUGCUGUGAACAUAAUUGAAUUUGGAGGUGGAGUAGUUUAUUCAUUAAAACUCCUAAAUCUAAAAUUAGAUUGGAGAGAAAAGCUUCCAGAUUUAAAAUCGAGAGAGAAAAGCUCCUAGAUCUAAAAUUAGAUCGGGAGUGCAAUAAAAGAAACAAAAGAAAAUAAAAGGCUGCCACAUUUAAGUAGUGGAAUUUGCAGUAAUUUCAUAGAGAAGAAGCAUACCUCCCAACCCUAAACAUCGCCAAACCAUCACUCGUCUCACAUCAUUAGUUGAACCAAGACAUGUGGAGGCCGAAUCAAUGUCACAUGCAAGAGCCAUACCAAACAUACUAAGAGAUGGAAUUUGUCAAAGCGUGCCUAAUUUAAAGCAGUGCCAUACAAUGCAAAGAAUACCAAAAAGUGGGGAUUUAGAAGAUAUUGAAAUUUGAUGCAUGAAUACAGUUUGAACAGCUAUGAUAGAAUUGAAUUCACAAAGCAUGCAACCGCACAAAAAUUUCCUCAAAACAGGCGGGAAUGUCCUCAGUUCGCCGCAGGAGCAGAAACUAAAAGAACAAAUUCAGUUCUACUCCGAACUUCAUUUCUUCAGGGUUGACUUGGGAGCUUUCGAGCGGAUAAGGUCUCGACAUGAUGCGAGUUAGAGACCUCACCCAGAAAGCUCGAGACCGAAGUCAGGUAAGUCAUUUCUUGCACCAUUGAAACAAACGAAACACUGCAAAUAAAACAAAGACAACCCUCCGGUGAUCAGUGUCAGAUGUCCCCCGAAGUUCCCCCAAACACUUCAGUAGGGCUGUAGUUGAGACAAUCCUUUAUUCUGCAUGAAGGACCAUGCGCCCCAAUGAAGUGAUCAGGGGAACUCCAGGGAACAGCUGACUCUUUUUUGCUCCUUUUCCUUCUUCCGUGUGUUUUGCCUGGAUGCUGAGGGUGCACUAAGUAAGGGCUGCUAUUUAUAAGGAUAACAUAGUACCGGUAAUUCCUUAGAAAAAGAAGGCUGGGUUUGGUGGAGGAAACUGGAAAAGAGGAGAAAUUUAUCAGUCCUAGGUUGGCCGAAAUGAACCUGGUCAGAUUUGCUGGGUAGAUCGAUAAGUGGGGAGAGGAAUCAUAUCAAGCCGAAUGUCCACAAGUUUUGUUGCUAUCGCCUUUUUUGGAUGUGAAAGUUCUGCGUUCAGAUUUCUGGCAUUUAAGAUGCUGGGAUUGCUUUCGGUGCUUCUGAAUAAAGGAUAAUUAGCCCUGGUAAUGUGGCGGAAAAUAUGAGUGACUCAAAUCCACAUGUUAGGUGAAUGACCUCAGAAACAAGUUUGAGAGGGUAACUGCAUGCUUUACAUCAAAAGCAAUGCCGGAGUUAUGAGUAAUUUGAUAACUUCACUUGUUUCAGAUGGUAUGGUGAUUAACCGUGUGCAAUGUCAUAUUUUAGGCGAGAUGCCAAUUACUCUAAAAGUCAAUUAUGACCCAAGUUAUGUUUUGAUUUAGAAAUUUUAGUCCGCCAAGAAUUCCUGUGGUGCAAGGAAUAGCAUGCUUUUUGAGAUAACAUUUGAACUUUUGUGUGGCAAAGGCAAAUCUCAUGAACCUAAAAAUGUAAGUGCAGAUUCUCUCUACGCAAGAAAUGAUUUGCUUUUUGGGACCUGGACCAUCUGAUGUGAUCAGAUCCAUGCAAUUAACAGAAAUGAAUCCGGUCGUCUUCAUGCGUCAGAUGAGCAGCAAGAAUAUUAUCUGAUGGCAUGCUGCCACAAGCUUUUUUUCUCCAUGCCAGCCUUGUCUUGCUUGCCCCAUCCGCUCCAGUCUUCUCUUUACCCUUACACUUGAGGGGCUCUUUCAUGCUUUAUUAGGUAUUGGAACUAAAAGGGGAAGUUAACACGAAAAUACAGAAAAUAACCACUAUAAAAGGAAACAGAAAGAGCUAGGACAAAAACCAGUAGAAUUACGAAUCCAUCAAUAAAAAUUUUGUGACAUCUCGUCAUAAAUGAUGUCUCAAGGACCGUAGAAUUACAAAUUAUAGAUAGUAGUUACAUCAGUCAAGGAUGUCUCGAACACUUUAAAGGAUUUCCAACUUUGAAUUAAUAGAGGUUUUCACUUAAACAACUCGUACACAUCUGAACAUCCAGAUCAUGCAUUUAUGUAGUAUGUCCAGUUGACAGAACCAUAUUCUUUGGUGGUAGGUGAAAUGGAACUUCAAUCACAAACACUUUUGUAAUCAUCUAAUGAAAACUGGAUUCUGAAGGCCAAGAAAGUGGAUGCUCGGUGGCAGAUGAAGCAGGCCGAAAAAGGGGCAAAAUUCAUGCUGAGCCACAGAUUAAUCACUAGAUUGUCAGAAGACGAGGAAAAAGCGACUUGAAACUGAUAACGAAGUAAAAAGGAAAGGAAUCGCAUACCACAAUAAUUCAUGUCGAUGCAUUCCGGGGACUUUCAUGUUGCUCAGAGGCACGUCUAGGUACAUGGCAAGAGCCUUAUCCCGACACACAAUGCUUCUACCUCAAGUGGAGCAGUUCCUAUAUAUAGAGCACUGCAUUGUUUCUUUUGCUCAUCAACUCAAGGCAGAUGACUCACUAGAAGAGGAGAUGAACAAUAUGAAUCGGGUGUCCCCAAGAGUUCCCCCGAACACUUCAAUGGGACUUUCUAUGAAAGCACUUCCCAAUGAAGUGUUUGGGGGAACUCCUGGUGUCGCUUGAUGCUAUAGCCGGAACUGAACCCAUAGCAGAAAACUCUUUUGAGGCAGUGUGUCACUGCACCCUUAUAUCCCUGCUAUAUCAGACUUCAUCCUUUGAUAUUCGGUGGCUUUCCCCUUUCAAAGUUUCUCUCAUUCUGUUAGCCGUACAGCUAGUGAGCUAUGUCACACAGGCAGCUCUCCUAAGUUUUUUCAUUGGAUUCUGCAGGGAAAAAACUUCAGGAUCUUCCAUUAAAGUAUCGCGGAGACAAUAACAGGGAGCCCGACAACAUCCAAAAUAUUUGAGUAAAUGAUAUGUUACUUAUUCCUUGGGAUUCCAGUUUAGGGUUUUUGGUGGUUUUUUCCCUAUUUGAAACAAUGAUAACUACUUCAUGCCUUUCUUUGAGAUUAAUAUAACAACUUUACGUCCUUAUUUGAAACAAAAUUAAUUUCAAGCCCUUAUUUGAGAAAAUGAUGACACUUCAUAUCCUUAUUUGGAAUUUUCCCUAAUUUUUAUUGAAAAACAUAGUUUGGGCAAUUAAAAAUAAAAUUAGUGACGUAAAAACAAAACCCAGUGUAAUCAAUUAUCUUGAUAGCCAAUUAUUUUUUCAUAAUUUAAAAAGCAAUUGUGCUUAUUUCUAAUUUCAGAGCAACAAGGAGAAAUUUCAGUGCCUAGUGGUCCCAAAUCUCUUCUAUUAAAAACUAAUAUGUAUUUUCUCCGUCCUCGUAAUGAAGUCGAUUGUGAUUCCUUAAAGUGUAUCUAGAUAUGUUUUUCUCUUUAAUAAGAUAAAAGGUUUUAUGCAUAAACGGAAAGACGGUACACCUUAGUAAACAACCUCUAACGAAACUACACUACUUCCAAAAACUGAUUGGGAUCUUGCAUUUACAAAGUACUAACUGAUGCCGUUAGACCACCAUCACCGUUGAUAGUAAUAACAAUAGUUGGUUAUUAUUAUGUUAUAGGGGCUCGGCUUUUUUCCAUUCAGUAUUAAAUUGACAUUUUCAAUUUUGCACUCUUAUAAGUACAAUGCAACGAGUCACUUAAAAAAUAAUAAUCGAGGUACAUUUGCAAUGUUGUUCCAUUUGUUUUCCUCUUUCCAUCAUGUUCUUUGAAAAACUCAGUUGUACCCUCACCACUAAUUGCAAUCGCUGCCAUCAAUCCCCGUAGUAAAUCUCCAACCACCGCAUUAUUGCCGGCAUCUCUCUCCCACAGCCGCACUCAUUCGAGAUCACACAAGGAUGAGCCCCGUCGUCAGGUCGGCUUUCGUGGAUCGAUCCGGGAUUGGGCAAUUUCAAUCUCGAAGUUUAUAUACGUGUGAUUUCUAGUAAAUCAAGAGGCAUUUCGAUCUCCGUCGGGAUUAAUAAAAAAGCAAACAAAUUCUCCGAUGGAGUGUCACCAUCGGGCAUCGUUCGAACAUGUCGGAAUCACGUCAGGAGUAUGCCCGAUUUCCAUAUAAGACGAGGCCGUGUGCAUCUAUUUUUAGCACGCAUUGGACUUGUACACGAACCAUCCCCUCUGCAGCGAAUUUCAUGAAAUGAGAGAUUUUCAUUUAUUCAUUAGAUUACUUGUUCUUUUUUUUUCUUUUUUUUUAUGACCAAGGGAUCACCAGAAAUCACCUUUCGGGAAUCACACAACCCUACAGCGAAUUUUAUGAAAUGAGAGAUUUUCAUUUAUUCAUUAGAUUACUUGUUCAUUUUUUUCUUUUUUUUAUGACCGAAGACCGCUGGAGAUCACCCUUCAGAGAUCACACGACCUUCCAGUGCUCGGUAGCACCGGUGGUGUCUCGCCACAAGCUAUUUAGACAAAAAUCCUCGGGGGCUGGCUUAGUAAACCACCCCGGGACCCCACUUAAGUUGCGAGCAUCCAGAGAUUUGAACUUGUUUCCUCUGCGAUGAGGUAAUAAAGUCCAACUAUCAUGGCUACAUACGGGUGGGUAGAUUACUUGUUCUUUUAUCUUUGAUUAUCAUUAAGAUCCAUUAAUCCAAAAUUGACGCCAUGGAGCUUCCCUCCGGUUUUUCUCUCUCUAACUCUCGUCUCCAUCCUCGCCCUCUUCCCUCCCCUUUCUCUCUCUAUCCCUAACCCUAGCUCCCCUCCGAUAGUCUACGAGCUCCUCCCCAAAUUCGGCCUCCUCGGCGGCCUGCUCCCGAACUCCAUCCGGUCCUACAACCUCUCCGACGAUGGCCAGUUCGCCGUCGACUUCGAGGGCCCCUGCUACGUCCAGUUCGACUACCUGGUCUGCUACGACCGGCAGGUCACCAGGAAGCUCAGCUACGGCUCCAUCACGAACUUGAAGGGGAUCCCCAGGUUCAGCGUUUCCUGUUCUGGCCCGACGUCGACGAGAUCGCGGUCGACCUGCCCCCCUCCGACUCCGUCUACUUCCAGGUGGGGUUCGUCAACAAGAGGCUGGACGUGGAUCAGUUCCAGACCGUCCACUUGUGCCGGGACAAGGUCGCCGGUCCGUGCAGCGGGUCGUGGAAGCAAGGAAUUGAGGUAAAUCCGCGAGAGAUCAUGCGUGUGGAUGCAUAAGUGCAUGUGUCAAUUUCUCUGGUGCUGAUUUUGAUGGUUUCUUCGUGGGUCGCAAUUCAUGUCUUCUUGGGUUCAGAUGGGUCUUGUGGCAUUUGGAAGUACAUCAAUUGUGUCGCUUUUGAGACUAGUAGUUGCUGCUGCUAGUUGUUCGCUUAUGAAAAAGCGUUAUGGCAUUGCAUGCAUAACUUGACGGAUUUGUUGGACUAACAGAUUAUUGCUCUGAGUUCCUCAGGAAAAGCUCGAAAUGUUUUAGCUUUUACUAUGUUUGUCAUUACCUUCUGGAUAUUCGCUGUCGUCUACUUUUCCUCGCUGAAAUUACCUGAUAAAGGAUAGAUCUUUUUUCAAACAAUUGCUUCUGGAUUGAAGGAAUAAAAAAAAAAAGGGAUAUGUUCAACAGAAGUCCUAAAACUUGUCAAUAAAGUGCAAUUGAGUUAUAAAACUUACAAAAAGUGUAAUCAAGUCCUAAAACUUGUCAAGUUGGUUCAAUUGAGUCCUUCCGUUAACAUCAUUAGUUUAUAUUAACGGAAAUUGCUGACUUGGCUUAUUUUAAUACUUUCUCUCUCCUACGUGGCAAUUAGGGCAAGAAAAAUUGUGCACGUCAGCAAAACGAUGUAGUUUUGUGGAUAUUGCCCAUUAUCAAAACGACGACGUCUCCCCCUCCGUUUUUUUACGACAUCUCCCCUUGCGCUUUUCGUCCAUCCCUUCUUCCCCUUUCGAAUCAACGCAACCCUAAACCCUAAAUCUCGAUGCAGAUCACCGGUGCCUCGCAAGUUGCAGUUCUUCGCCAAACGCUAGUGCAAGGACGUGCGACACUCGUCCCACAAGAGCCUUGGUGGUGGAUCGAGCGGUGCCGACGAUGAAGGCACUCACUAUGACCGAGCUUCACAACUGAUUUCCCUCAUAAGAAACGGGAUUCAUGCUCGAGUUCUGGACAAUUCCUAGAUGGUUAUCCUCUUCCAUCACCUUCUAAUGUCCUCGCCACUGCUGAUCAACACCAAUGGCCGCUCCUCCGCUUGCUUUGUCGAACAGUAUAGCAAAAACUUCAGCAGUAACUUGUAAAUGAGGCCCGUGUUCGUGAAAUUGAAGUAAGCUCAUCAGUUCUUGUUUUCGAAUCAUAACAAUUCGUGAAACAAAUAUCUUUUUCUCUUAAAAUAAAUUUGAUGCUUCUUUUAAUUCACCUACCAUAAAAUAGCCCUUUAGUAAAGCACAAUGAGAAGAAAGUGACAAAGAAGACUUAUCUCUCCGCACAGCCUCGUUAACUGCAGUUGCUUCAGUAAACCUUCUUGCUUUCCAAAGAAGAGGAAUUACAAAAACUGAAGCAUCCAGAUGAGGGAAUAGUCCCUUCGCUUGCAUGGUAUCAAAUAUACUUAAGGCUUCUAAGUAUUUCUUUUUCCUACAAAAUCCCCUUAUAAGGUGACUAUAUGCCCUAUACUCUAUUAAGCAACCCCUCUUAUGCAUUUCUUUUGCAAGUGCAUAUGCAAUGGUACUUAAACCUGCAUCGCAGAGUUUCUCAAAGAAGACAUCAAUAACAUUAGAGACAUGGAAGGCCAUAAGAGUGCUUUCAAAAAGCUCUAGUGCUUCACUGAUCAAUGCAUUUUGGAUAAGACAACUGACAAGAGGUUCAAGUUCUCUCAGUCCUGGAACCCACUUAGAUUCUCUAACCAGAUCCAAGCAACCACUUAGUUCUCCCAGAAAUCCUUGCUCAAAAAGACUUAUCAUAAAGAUGUUAUAAGUCUUGUUCUCAAUCAUAAAGAUGUUAUAAGCCUGCAUGUGUAAGAUCAUCCCUAGGCAGCAUAUCAAGUAGGAAAUAGCUACCUAACAACAGGCUGAGUUUAUAUGCACGAUGAUUGUUCAGUGACCUGAAAUAGGGAGGCUGCUCUGAUUAAUAUAAAAUAGGAAAGCAGCAUAUAUAAAAUGAAAAUGUACCUUUUCUGUGAUCGAGAGAUGAAACGGUUAUACAUAUUUCUGCUGAGUUGCAUUUUAGUCUAUCUUUUUUAGUAAAAAAAUUGAAAAUUGUCGAUUGACAUCACAAAUUAAUGGUAGAAUAAUAGCUUGAGAGCUAUCUAGUAUAAAAAGCUAAAAUGAAGGAAAUCUCUUGGCAAUGCUUACAUCACAAGAGUAAAGUGAUGCGGUUUUGUGCUAAACCAAUCUGUGAGAUAUGUUCCUGCUGUAAUGUCCCUUACCAAGUGCUUUAGUUAGUUCUGUCUGCAAGUGCAGGAAGGAUGGUGUGAUAGCGUCGGUUCUGUUGAACAAAUCCAAUCCAAAUUACAUUGUACAUAGAUCAUCACAUUGUAUCCUUAUCCACUUAAUUCACUCUUGCAAUCCGAUUUGGGAAGUGUCUCGUCUGUUCGCGGAAAUGGUUCAGCAUGGACUAAGAUGUAUAGCUUUUUGUACAUCACGUAAACUCUGUGAACUCGUUUUGUCCUAUACGUAAGUUACAUCAGAUAAGCAUUAUCUAUUAGCACUUUUGUGGCCUUAUCUAAUCCAGCAUUUAAGGCUGCUGUAAGAAUUUAUCAUCAAGUCAAAGAACGAUGGACUAAUAGGUGCUGGGAAUUUUUUUUCCUCGUUACCUUUUAUCUAAUAGGCAAGAGUUUCUUCGUGAGACAGCUCCAAAUCUGGUUGACUCAAUAAGUUCUUAUCGAUCUGGAUAUACUGCUGAGGAUUCUAAUGUGAAGUUGGUCUUCCUACAAACUUCCUAAAUGAGUUGUACUACAAUAGAUUCUGAAUAACUUGAAUGUUGUUGGUACUUAAUGUAUUCAAACAAUUUAUCUCAUUGCUCAAGAUACUUUUUAAUGAAUUAACUUGCCUUUAUUCUCCUAUGGUAUAGGUUUUGCUAGUUUGCAACUGUGAUAUGCUUUUUUAAUAUGGUGAUAAGAAGAACGAGGGCAACAACUUCUAAAUCAAGUGGUGUAACUCCUAAUGAGAUCGAAUCAGAGUUAACUUGCUAUUGUGGUCUUCGAUCACCACUUCUAAUUGCAAAAACAAAGAAAACGCAGGAAGAAGGUUUUAUGGAUGUGCUAAGUUUGAUGGUCCAGGUUGCUGCAAUUUCUUCAUGUGGGUUGACCCAAAAAUACCGGAUCAAGUGAGGGACAUGAUAGUCGAAUUGCUUGAAAGAAAUCAAGCACUAUCAAAGUCAAGCCAAUCUAGAUGCAACGACGAUUAUGUGAGCUCACUGAUAGCUAAAAUGAAGGCGCAAAAGGCGAAAAAUUGGACUUUUAAAGGAAGAGCUUGCACGAGUGAAGAAAGAGAAGAUGGUCUAUCAAUUGGGAUUUUUUCUAUGCAUGUGUUAUAUCAUUAUAGAGAUUAUAUUUAAUGUGAAAGCUAGUGAGAAGUUUCUGAGUCUUCCAUAGUACUUUGUUUCUAAGUUUGUAUUUAAUUACUUUAUCCCAAUUCUCUUUUGCCCUGUAAAAUUAGAAAACUCAUGUUGCGUGGAAAUGUAAACAAGCUUAAUUCAUUUCGUGUGUUCUUUUAGUGAAUGCUAUUUGGAUGAUGAUUUUUUUAAAUGUUCCAUCAAAGGAAAAAAGAUAGAGCACUCUCAUGUAUUUAUGGAAAUGAAGUCUGGGAAGCAGCAACGCAAUAGACAAAAGACAGAGCACACAAGAAUUUGAAAGCAAACCGGGCCUUUCAUGACUACAUACAGUUGAGUGUGGCAUACGUGUACUUUGAAAAAUAGAGAGGAGAUGGAAUUAGAUUGGAGCCACAUAUUACAGGAGUCUACGUUAAUAAUGCAGCAACUUAUUAAUGUCCUUCGAGGUGAUAUCUACGGUACAAACUUUCUUACAUUCUCCAAAGAUGGGAGAAGUAAAAAACAUAUGGUACCGUUGUUAAAAGCGAGAGAGAUUUACAAGUUAUUACAACUCCAGCAAAGAUCUUAGGUCAGAAGUUGGGAACUUGAAGCAACCCAUGAUAGCUGGAUCUGAUUUGUGAUUUGUCAUGUACAAAAUAUCAUUAUUGAGUUUCAAGGAAUCUGCAAUUUUCAAGCAAUCAAAAUAUAGCAGAUGAAAAGGCCAGACGGGUAGUGCAUAGAUUUGGUCACAUUCAUCAGAAUCAGCACAAUAAUAAUCUAUAGACAUUUUGAAAUGAGAAAAAUGUUUUGAACAUAGACUGCUUGAGUAAUAAGCAUGACCACUUAACUUGAAGUUUAUACAAAGAUAAAUGAAAGAUACUUAUUCCAUAAGUACUAGUAGCCUUGUGCAACAGAGGUGCUCAACAGAAAUAAAACUCCUAUUCAAACAAAGAAACUGAAAAGGAACAUGCACGUUCCACGGCAUGCUGCCUCAAAUACACGGAUGCAAAACAAAGUUGCUCUUUUAUUAGGCAGAUAAAUUUGCACAUUGCACUACUGCAGCCAAGAGGCAGAGACACGAAUAGGAUAUUCUCAAAUGUAUACAACAGAAGGGACGAGUCAUUAAACACAGUCCCAACACGUUCUUUGAUAAUUACAAAAUCACUGAAAUUGAUUGCUACAAAACACUACAAACCACAAACCAUAUAAGAAAUUGGCCAGCAAAACUAGCACCUAAGAUAAUGUUAAAGGAGAAUUUCUUGUUGCAACUUUCAUGAGACCUGACACAUUUAGCAAGCACAUCAAUCCAAGUCUACUUUCUCGGGUGGUCAAACUGUCUCGGGUGGUCCAGCAGGUUCAACGUGCACUUGAUUCAUAAGUCGUGAGCUUUUCAUUGUAUAUGGUGUGCCUCCUGUGACUCUCUUCUAAAUAAGCAUUGGGGGAGCAAUUGAAGUAUGAGAUGACUGAGGCUGUAAACUCACUGGCGGUUGUGAUGGUGGCUUCGGCUUCGGCUUUAUGGCAACAUGUUUUCGGGACUGAGGCUGAGAACUUGCCUGGGGGUGCAAUGGUGGCUUUGGCUUUACACCGAUGUGCUUUCGAGGAUAAGUUCUUAAUGCUUGAAGCUGCAAACUGUCUUGGAGUUGCAAUGGUGGCUUUAACUUCACAACAACAUGCUUUCAAAGAGCACUUAGAGAUGAUUGAGGCUAUGCACUGGCUUGGGGAAGCACCUUUGCCAUUGAAGCUCCCAAAACUACUCCUAUGUCUGGUUGUUUCAAUAAUCUUGUAUCAAUUGAGCCAAGUUACAAAAGAAUGGGUAUGUUUUUAGUUCAAGGAGACAGUCAGUUCCCAUUGUAAAGUGUUAAAACAUACUCACAUUGAGAAUUUGAAGGUUGUUUUUAGGAUUUGUGUAAACACCCAACCCUACCAUUUUCUUCUUCUUCAAAAUUAUGACUACCCUUGUAUCAUUUCCAUUUCAAUGGCAAGUCUUUUAAACUGAAAAAGAAAAAACAAAUCGAAUGUGAGAAUGUAAUCACAACACAUGAAUGCAUGGGUGGUGAUGUAUUACUCAUUGGGAUUUUUUGAGGUCUGCUGCUAGCUAUUGCAUUGGCUUGAGCAUGAAAAAAAAUUUGUCGUUGAUUAACACUAGCUUCAACAAAAGAAUUGGCAUGUCCACUACAUCCACUUACAUUAGCAGUAGCCCAACAUCCUCUUUCAUUUACACUAGACUGAGUAAAAGCAUUGGCUGAAUUAUCUUGCACUGGUCCACUAAGUUUUGUACAAGCAUUGACUAAAGUAUCUUGUGCUGGCACAUCAACUUGAGCAAAAGCAUUGGCUGAAGUAUCUUGUAAAUGUACACUGACUUCUGCAAAAGCAUUGGCUGAAGUAUCAUGUAUUGGUGCACAUCCUUCUACGAAAGCAUUGGCUGAAGUAUCUUCAAUUGGUGCACUAGCUUCUGCAAAAGCAUUGGCAGAAGUAUCUUCUACUUGUGCACUAGCUUAUGCAAAAGCAUUGGCUGAAGAAUUCGUCUGCCCACUAUUAUCUUGUACAAGUGCACUAGCUUCUGCAGAAGCAAUGACACGGCCUUUGGAUCCUCCUUGAGUUGUACUUGUCAUUACUGUAGCUUUAGCCUGCAUAUAUAUAUUCAUCAUUAGUAAAUCGAAACCUUCAAAUUUAUAACUUAUAAUCCAUGAAUCUAUCACAAAAUACUUGUCUUUUUUUAGGCCUUGAUCCAUUGGAAUUGGCUUGAGAUUGAGCUUCAAGUGCAUUUGCAUGGGCCUAAAAAGCACAUAGUAAGCAUUCAUGACAAGACAACGAGCUUAGAAUCAACAAAAUCAAUUAGUUAAGAAAUGCCUUUUUCAGAGGACAUUCUUUGCAAUUAUGUUCAACCAUAUGGCAAGUAGAACAAGUCAUUCGCUUACCCUCUUUAGUCAUUAUGUUCUGUCUUACAAAUUCAAGUGGUUGCUUUCUUCUACUUCUUUUUGGCCUACCAGACAUCUUUUUGAUCGGUGGGGGCUAAGGGGCUUCUUUAUUAGUUUUGCCCCAAAAAUUAUGUCCUUUCACAGUAGGCAUCAUGAAUUGAUAAGCACUUAAGUAUUUGUUCUUGUUGAAGCACUCGGCUAAGUAGUCACUUGGAUCAUUUUUCUUGUGGUGUAUUGCACAUAUAGCAUGGCAACAUGAAAUUCCACUAACUUCCCAAGCUCUACAAGAACAAGUCUUCAAAUUCAAGUCUACAACAUAUUUGUCACCAUCUUCCAUAAUCUCGUAUCUUUAAUCUCCAUUCCAUAUCAAAUGGCAAUAUCUACUAGCCAUUGUAUUCUGAUGUAACUUAUGCACAAUCCUUGGACCAUAAUUUCUUAUCCACUUAGCACAUGCAUCCCUUUGACUAUGCAUUUUAUUCAUAAUCAUGAUUCUAAUAUCUUCAAACAUACUCACAAUGGCAUUGCACCUAGCUUCCACACACCUACCAUUGAAAACUUCACUAAGAUUAUUAUCAACAACAUCACAUUUUAUGUUGGUGUCAAAGAAGGCUUUAAACCAGUGCUUUGGCUCAAUCUGGAAUAGAUCAUCAUGACCUUGUGGAGUCAUUUCCUUCAAUCUCUGUCUAUGCACCUCAAAAUCUGACAUAUUAGUACACUUAGCACAUCUCCAAAAUUGUUUCAUCAAUUACUUUCCUUUGUAUUUUUGACCCAAUUAGAAUAUAUAUGCCUCGCACACAUUUUAUAUUAUGCAUUUGGCAAAAGUUCAACUACUGAACGGAUGAGGCCCCGAUAUAUAAAAAAAGAAAAGAAAAUAUUAAUAUUGGAAAUCGUUAUAUACAUUGUUGCAAACAAAUUCAAGAUGAGCGAUAGUAGUAUUACAUACCUUUUGUUGGUCACUUAUUAAGGCCCAACAAAUACUAUUGCACAUGUUAAGAUCUUUUUUCAACAAGUUAAUAAACCAACUCCAUGUGUCCUUAUUCUCAAUUCUUAUAACUGCCCAUGCUAUUUGAUAUAUUUGAUUGUUAGCAUCCCUCCCCACAGCACACAAUAACUCACCCUUGAUUAAUCCCCUAAGAAAACAUCCAUUUAAUCCAAUGAUCUUUUGACACCCUGCCAAAAAUCCUUUCCUACAGGCAUCAAAGCAAAUGUAAGCCCUAUCAAAUAAUGGUAAGGAAUCUGGUAGUGGUCUUUCAACUUUCAAUUUAAAUGUGCUCGCCCGGCUUACAAUGUAAAGCUCUCCCAAGUAAUCGUACAUCAGUGCAUACUCCUUCUUAUAAUUGCCUUGUAAUUCCUUGAACACUUUUAGCUUUGUUCUCCUGCAUUGACUCACAGUGACAUUCACCCCCAACUGUUCUCUAACUAAUAUCUUCAACUGAGGUGCAUUGAUUUUAGGCAUUGCAGAAACACGAAUCAUGAAGUGUUUAGCUAAGAAAAAACUGGAAACUCUCUUAUUCUCAAAAGUGAUAGCACAUGUAUGCUUAUCAAUGUACUUUUUCAAAUGAAAUAAUCCGGUUUUGCUAUCGAGAGCACCAUAAAUCAUCCAGUUACAAUUAGCCUAGGCACACCUAGCUCUUACAAAUCCAGUGGUGUUCUUGGUAUAUUUAAUUGCUCUUUGCUCAGCCACCGAGUACCUCAAAAUUGCAUCUUUGAACUCACUUGAAUUUUCAAAUGUCAUACCAACAACAAAUACUGGAUUCUUAUCAUUUCGAUCAUAUGAUAGAAACCUACUCCUCCUUCUUGAAAUAACACAUUUUCUUCUUUUUCACUCUCAUCAUUUAAAUCUGAAUGAAGACUUUCUUCUUCAUUUGAAUCAUAAUACUCUAUUUCGUAUCCAGAAGCAUCCACCAUUAGAGGAUCAACUGAUAAUGGAGUUUGAGAGUCAAUGUCUAAUUGAGAAGUUUCUUCAAUGUUAGUUCCAAUUUUGAGUUUAUGUCUCGCUAAAAAUUCCUUUAAAUUUCUUCUUGCAUUAACCAAUUCAAAAUCAUCAUCGUCACUCGACUGUUCAGCAUCCACCAAAUUACAUGCAUCAUCAUUCUCAUCAUCCAAAUCCUUACUUUCACCCUCAACCUAAUUCCCAUCACCAUCGGCAUUUCCAAUUAUAUUUUCAAACACAUUAUCAGUCAGAUUGUUAACACUUUCCAUAUUCAUAUCAAACAAAUCUCCAAUUUCCAUCUCAACUCCCCCUAUCUUAGCAAGUGUUUCUUCAUCAUCGACAUGUUCAACAUACAAUUCAAUAUUUUCAGAGUGAAGAUGAUAAUAAAAUUGAUCUAUCACAUCAGAGUUAUCCCAUAAAUACCUAAGAGUUAUUCCAUCUUCAAGAAUAUUACAUCCAAGAACUCUAUAAAAGAUUUUUUCUAUUUUACGCCCACAUAGAACCUCAACAGCUUCAAUUAUGUUGGAUAAUGAACCCUUACUUAAGUCUACUUCAACAACAUCAGCCCUUCAAUCUACGUAUUCUAAGGGCGGUUCAACUUGAAAUUUACCUCCAAAGAAAACUGUGACAUAAACUUUGUUGUUGCCCGUUGGACCUAUAAAGGAAUAAAAACAAAUAGCACUUUCAAUCGUAAAAUUUCAACUAAAAACUACUAAUGACUUCACUUGUAAAGAAAAAUGGGUAGGGUAAACAUACCCAUGUUGAUGGAUGACCUUAAGAGUAGUCAACCCUCCAAUAAACUCAUUCCAAAUACAAGUAUUAGCAACCGGCAUCGACAAAAAAAGGAGCUGAAAGUGACAGUAAACUGAACUAAUUUAGAAGAAAUGAAGUCAUCAAAUCUUCAUGUACACAUCUCACAGAUUGGUUUAGCACAAAACUGCAUCACUUUACUCUUGUGAUGUAAGCAUUGCCAAGAGAUUUCCUUCAUUUUAGCUUUUUAUACUAGAUAGCUCUCAAGCUAUUAUUCUGCCAUUAAUUCGUGAUGUCCAUCGACAAUUUUCAAUUUUUUUACUAAAAAAGAUAGACUAAAAUGCAACUCAGCAAAAACAUGUAUAACAGAUUUCAUCUCCUGGUCACAGAAAAGGUACAUUUUCAUUUUAUAUAUGCUGCUUUCCUAUUUUAUAUUAAUCAGAGCAGCCUCCCUAUUUCAGGUUACUGAACAAUCAUCGUGCAUAUAAACUCAGCCUCUUGUCAGGUAGCUAUUUCCUACUUGAUAUGCUGCCUAGGGAUGAUCUUACACAUGCAGGCUUAUAACAUCUUUAUGAUUGAGAACAAGACUUAUAACAUCUUUAUGACAAGUCUUUUUGAGCAAGGAUUUCUGGGAGAACUAAGUGGUUGCUUGGAUCUGGUUAGAGAAUCUAAGUGGGUUCCAGGACUGAGAGAACUUGAACCUCUUGUCAGUUGUCUUAUCCAAAAUGCAUUGAUCAGUGAAGCACUAGAGCUUUUUGAAAGCACUCUUAUGGCCUUCCAUGUCUCUAAUGUUAUUGAUGUCUUCUUUGAGAAACUCUGCGAUGCAGGUUUAAGUACCAUUGUAUAUGCACUUGCAAAAGAAAUGCAUAAGAGGGGUUGCUUAAUAGAGUAUAGGGCAUAUAGUCACCUUAUAAGGGGAUUUUGCAGGAAAAAGAAAUACUUAGAAGCCUUAAGUAUAUUUGAUACCAUGCAAGCGAAGGGACUAUUCCCUCAUCUGAAUGCUUCAGUUUUUUUAAUUCCUCUUCUUUGCAAAGCAAGAAGGUUUACUGAAGCAACUGCAGUUAACGAUACUAUGCUGAGAGAUAAGUCUUCUUUGUCACUUUCUUCUCAUUGUGCUUUACUAAAGGGCUAUUUUAUGGUAGGUGAAUUAAAAGAAGUAUCAAGUUUAUUUUAAGAGAAAAAGAUAUUUGUUUCACGAAUUGCUAUGUCUCGAAAACAAGAAUUGAUGAACUUACUUCAAUUUCAUGAACACAGGCCUCAUUUACAAUUUGUUGCUGAAGUUUCUGCUAUACUGUUCGACAGAGCAAGCGGAGGAGCGGCCAUUGGUGUUGAUCGGCGGUGGUGAGGACAUCAAAAGGCGAUGGAAGAGGAUAACCAUCCAGGAAUUGUCUAGAACUCGAGCAUGAAUCCUAUUUCUUAUGAGGGAAAUCGGUUGCGAAGCUCAGUCAUAGUGAGUGCCUCCAUCGUCGGCGUCGCUCGAUCCACCACCAAGGCUCUUGUGGGAUGAGUGUCACGCGUCCUCGCACCAGCGUUUGAUGAAGAACUGCAACUCGCGAGGCACCGGUGAUCUGCGUCGAGAUUUAGGGCUUAGGGUUGCAUUGAUUCGAAAGGGGAAGAAGGGAUGGAUGAAAAAUGCAAGGGGGGAUGUCAUAAAAAAAAAAAACGGAUGGGGAGACGUCGUCGUUUUGUUAAUGGGCAAUAUCCACAAAACUACGUCGUUUUGCUGACGUGCACAAUUUUUCUUGCCCUAAUUGCCACGUAGGAGAGAGAAAGUAUUAAAAUAAGCCAAGUCAGCAAUUUCCGUUAAUAUAAACUGACGGUGUUAACGAAAUGACUCAAUUGAACCAACUUGACAAAUUUUAGGACUUGAUUGCACUUUUGGUAAGUUUUAGGACUCAAUUGCACUUUGUUGACAAGUUUUAGGAUUUCUGCUGAACAUAUCCCUAAAAAAAACUAAUGAUGGGAAGAUGACAGUAUUGUGCAGUUGCUUGUGCUCCUGCGAAAAGUGAACAAUACUUAUAGAACUGGUUGUUCUUUUAGUAUAGAAUUAUUGCUUCUCCCGUGAUCAACCUUUGAUGUUUAGCUGCAUGGUAUUGAAGUGAUUGAAUUAAAGUUACUCUUCCACCUAUAACGUGAGUUCAAUGCGGAGGGAAAGAUGGGGAAAAUCACGUUUCCAGUUUCUGUUUAUGGCUUUUAGAUAAGUUGGAAGUGACGCCACAAAUUUCAAUACUUGUAAGGACCAACAAUGUGUCUCAUUCAUGCAGCUGGUUUUCUCUUAUCAGCAUUUUGUGCGACUGGUUUGUUGACUUGAUUAUAUCAAUGGCCAUGCAAUAAGUAAAAUACAAAAGUAAGAGUUUGUCCAGUGUCUCCCAUUCGAUGGAAAUACUAAGAACUAAAACAUUCACGAAGCGUCUGGAUUGGUAUCAAUGCGAACCCAUAAAUACCGUGCCGAAAGAUGCCGCCAUCUCCUCCUUAAAUUAAGUCCAGAUCCUGAAGAUGGUUGUCGCGACUAAAAUUUCGGGUGAACCACCUAAAAUUAAGCUAAUGGAUUACUAAGUCUCACUUAGGCUCUUCCAAGCCCAUACCAAUUCGCGACUUAGGUUCAAAUAUUUCACAUGCAAAAGGGAGUUGCCACUAGACAGUUUACAGUAGGUCGAUUAGAUACUUAAGUAAAAUAAUGGGAGAAUUAUUUUACUUCUACGAAUCAGACAUUGUGAGUUUGGGGACUUGAUUACGUUAGAUUUCUUUAACGCCCUUUCGGUACCUUUCUCUUUUAUUUCCGAAAAAAAUAUUUUGCAGGCAGCUUGAAUUAAUUUUAAAUCUAUCUCCCUAACAUGUGAGCUGAUCAAGUAGGUGCACAAACCACCAAUUUAACACCCAAGAAAGUAACGAAUAAAUUGCAAAACUUACCUUAUAGCUACGAAAGCAUCUGCGUUGUUGAUUAGAAUUCACAUCAACGGUCCUAGAUAUGAUUUCUAAUUAACAAACAAUCACUCAAUUUUUAGUUUUCACUUAUUCAAUAAGAAUCUAAUCUAUAUGCAAUGCCAUGCUACUAAUCUAACAUGAAAUGAUAUUGUAUGAUAAUAUGACCUAAGCUAUAUGACAUAAGUAAAGUAAUUUAUAAAGAAACGCAAUAAUUAAAUGUGUAAUCUAAAUUAACCAAAUGACCUAAUUCUAAUGACGGGGAAUUUCUAAUUAAAUGAACCUAGCAACAAUCACUAAAUGACGUACAUUUCAUGAACCUAAUCCUACAUGACAUGCGCAUGAUUUUUAUAUAUAUAUUUUUUAUGAAAAUUCGUAAUUAAAAUUGCUAAAAAUCAAAAUCUAACUAAAGCAAGACAUUAUCUAUUUUAAGUUAGGAAUAGAUCAAUCUGAAUCCUAUCUUAAUCUAGAAAAUUAUCUCAUCAUGCAAUCCAAUCCAAAAAAUAUUAUCUAACCUAGAUACUACAUGCAUUUAAAAAAAAAAAAAACCUAUUUUAUCAUGCAUACCUUAUCUAGGAAACAAUUCUAAUCUACAUGGAAUGCAAAUGCAAUUUUUUUUGUAUUUCGGGGAUAAAUAGAACAAUUGAAAGAUAAACACUAAAUCAUCCAUGGUCAUCAUAAAUGUUAUCCACCAUUCAAAUUGAAAUUCAAACUUGAUUAUUUCACUAAUAAAAUCAAUAAAUUGAUCUUAAACCUUAAAGAUCAAUAUAUCAAUUUUACUCCUGCAUGAAUAAUUAUUCCAUCUAAAGCCUUAUAAAUGAAAUAAAAAUUCGUGCGGUUACAAAUUGAAUGCUACAUCAGGGAUUUCCAUCGAGAAAUAUUUCAAACCACGAGACAAAAUAUAUAUAAAAAAAAACAAACUAACUAAAUAAUAAUAAAUAAAUCUACCUAAAAAUAAAGUAAAUCUCUAACUAAAUUUGAAUUUUUUCCCAAAAUCCGAAUGGUAUAAUGGGCUCGGCGCGGUACACAGCCCAAGGACAGUGGCUGUGGUGGUGGGUCGCCAAGGUGCCCGUGGGUGGCUGGCGAGACUAGAAAAUCCUGCUAAAAAAAAUCAUCAAGAGAACGAAAUUGUUUCACUAAGCUUCUCGGUUGAGCACGUCAAGGAUCGAUCGUUCUAUUCCACUCCAACUCUUUUACUUUCUAUUUAUUAUUUUUUCUAUGGAAAGGUCCACGAAAGAGAUUAGUGCAGGAGAGAACUUCAGCAAAUCUACGUGCGAUGGAAUGCUCUUGGACUUUUUAUUUUAAUCUUCAAUCCACCACUUGACUUUUGUCUUCUUAUCUUCUACCAACUCUCGGCCAUCGACGGUUCAGCAGUGUGGAAUGGACUGAGAUUGCGAAGACGCCAGAGAAGACAAAAGAACUUGCCAAUCGCAAGAGAAAUCAUCAAUAAUCUGAAGCUCGCUGGACCGCUUUGAUGUUCACUUCAUUCGCUAGAUGUCCCGGCUGAGCAGCUCUCGGUGACAGGAGCAGCAGCAACUGGUCAUCGCUGAAAGUUCAGCAGCGGUUUAAGGAGGCAAUAGCAAGUCGCCAAGGGCUCGCAGUGCGGUUGGGACUGGUCAACAUGCAAUGUGCAGACGUUGCAACGCGUUGAUGGGGCUUUGCAGCAACUGCACUCUCGUCGAUGCAGCAAGUCGUCGGGAACAGCAGGCGGCGCUAGAGUCGUGGCCGUGUGGGUCGAUGGAGUGGGAUGUUUGGCUGUGAAGUGUUCAGCCGUCGUCUCCCUUUCUCCUCUAUUCUGAGUGCCGACCCUCUCUUCACGCUUUUUCUCCUUGACUUUUCUCUCUAAAGUUCUUUCUAUGAGGCCAUGUAUUCAAUGUGUGGCCACCCGAAAACCCUACACGUUUUAACCUAUUUAUAGACGACAGACUAGGGUUUUUUAAGUUUCCAAAACCAUAUCCAUGAAUAUUUCUUUUCCAAACGCAAUAUUCGCUUUUUCCAAACUCAAUAUUCGCUUUUGAAUUAAAAUCUCACAAAGAUAAAUCCGUAAAAUCUCCCCGAUGAUAUGGGCUUGGGCUGAUUUGCUUUCUUUGUGGGCUUAGCCCGACUCAUUAAAUUAAAAAAAUUUUAACCAUCAAUUCGAAUCCAUCCGUCACCGGUCCAAUGUAAAUGCAAAUUAAAAAUAAAUGCAUCUAAAAUUAUAUGCUAUGUAAUUAAUAUUUUUUCAGGGAUAAAAUUAACCCAUAAUUUUCUAUGUAAUAAAUAAAUGACCAGAUCGUCAAAAUUCAGGUGUCAACAAUGGUCCUGAUAGUUGAGCUCAUCCCAUCCUUCGAGUAUGGCCACUUCAGUUUCAUACAAAAGCUCGGCUCUUUAACCUGCAUUUUAGCUUCCUGCCCAGAAUUAGAGUGAGUUCAAGUGCUUCGCUGUUGAAGAAAAGCAUUGCUGUGUACAUCCUGAUCAUCUCGUUCAGUGCUGUAGCGAGUGGAAAUAAUGGACGGCCCUCCAAAUCCUCCACCCGUUCAUCCUUUGCAUCGUAUUAUGGAGGCCAUCCGCCACCUCCGUCAUUCCUCAUGGCUAAUACGCCUCCAACAGCAACACCCGGAUCCCCGGCAGCGCCAGUAUCUAGAACGCCUUUUCCUGGUUAUGGACAACAUCCUGUCUUUACAUUCACCGCCAUCAGCUCCUCCCGGCCACGGUGCGCCGUCACAUAGCGGCCAACCAGCUUCAACCCCUCGAGCCCCGUCAAUAUAUGGAACUCCUCAACGUCCAUAAGCAUCACCUCCGCGAGUUUUUCAACCAACUCCGCCAGUUUAUCAGCCCCCUACGCCGUCACCUCCUCCGGCUCCCCCGAGAGCAGUUUGCUCGGCACCACCAGGACGUCGACUUGCUCUACCAGUUCACAUACAACAUGUAAGUCCACCACCUCCUUAUAAGCGACGAAGCCCACCCCCCGUGCAAUAAGUAUAUAAAACUUUGUAGUUGUAAAUAAAAUUAGUCAUGUAAAAACAAAACCCAGCGUAAUCAAUUUUCUUGAUAGCCAAAAAAAAAAAAAAAUUCCAUAAUUUUAAAAGUAAUCAUGCUUAUUUCUAAUUUCAGAGCAAGAACGAGAAAUUUCAGGACCUAGAAGUCCCAAAUCUCUUACAUUAAAAACUAAUCUAUAUUUUCUUCUUCUGGGCAAUAAAGUCGAUUGUGAUUCCUUAAAGUGUAUUGUUCUUGCAUUUCGACAAAAAAAAAAGAGUGUAUCGUUCUUUCCAAUUCAGUAAUAAAUUGACAUUUUGAAUCUAGACUCUUAUCAGUACAAUGCACUGAGUCACUUAAAAAUUAAUAAUCGAGGUGCAUUUGCAACGUUGUUCCAUUUUUUCCCUUUCCCUUCAUGUUCUUUGAAAAACCCUAUUGUACCCUCACCACCAAUCGCAAUGACUGCCAUGAACUGCCGUAGUGAAUCUCCAACCACCACCAUUAUUACCCGCAUCUCUCUCCCACGGUCACACUCAUACGAGAUCACACAAGGACGAGGGCCGUCGUCGGGUCGGCUUUUGCGGAUCGAUCCGGGAUUCGAGAAUUUCGGUCUCGAAGUUUUUAUACGUGCGAUUUCUACUAAAUCGAGGGGCAUUUUGGCGAAACCGAAAUGGUCAGAAACUUUCUCCAUCAGGACUAAUUGAAAGGUAGAAUAAUUCUUCGAUAGAGUGUCCUUAUCGGGCAUCGUUUGAACGUGUCUGGACCACGUCGGGCGUAGGCCCGAUUCCCGUAUAAGACGAGGCCCGUCUACAUCCCGUUUUCAGCACGCCUUGGAUUCAUACACGAACCUUCCCCCCUCUGCAACGAAUUUCGCAAAAUGAGAAAAAUUUCAUUUAUCCAUUAGAAUACUCGUUUUUUCAAAUCUUUGAUCAUUAAGAUUUAAGACCCACUAAUCCAAAUUCGACGCCAUUAAAAAAUCCGGAGCGCUCGGGGGAGAUUCCCUCCGGUUUUGUCCCUUCCCCAUCACGGCACCUCGUCUCGUCCCCCAUCAAAGCCCCGCACGACACCGUUUCUCCCCCCGCGUAUAAAAUCCGGUCCCCAUCACUUCCGUCAAUCCAUCCCGUCUCCGUCCCUUCUCUCUCUACCUCCGCCACCAACCAGUCCUCCUCCAAUGGCCGAUUCCUCCCUCUUUCUCUCUCUAGCCCUCGCCUCCCUCCUCGCCCUCUUCCCUCCCCUUUCUCUCUCUAGCGCUAGCCCUAGCCCUGGCUCCCCCGCGACCGUCUACGAGCUCCUCCCCGAGUUCGGCCUCCCCGGCGGCCUCCUGCCGGACUCCGUCCGGUCCUACGAGCUCUCCGACGACGGCCGGUUCGCCGUCGAGCUGGAGGCGCCCUGCUACGUCCAGUUCGACUACCUGGUCUACUACGACCGGCGGGUCACCGGGACGCUCAGCUACGGCUCCAUCACGGACCUGAAGGGGAUCCAGGUGCAGCGGUUCCUGUUCUGGCUCGACGUCGACGAGAUCAGGGUCGACCUGCCCCCCUCCGACUCCAUCUACUUCCAGGUGGGGUUCGUCAACAAGAAGCUCGACGUGGACCAGUUCCAGACCGUCCACUCGUG